UUUUUUUUGAUGUCUUUAUACACUUUUUCUGACUCAGCUGGGCUUCAUGCUUCUAGCUCUCAUAUGGCAGUUUGACUUCCCACCUUUCAUGGUUCUUAUUAUAGCCAUUCUUAAUGAUGGUUUGUUUCUUAUUCCCUCAUUUUGUCACUCAUAUAUUGACUUAAGCACUCUCCUACUUGUUCCUCUAGACUAUGACACUAUGUCAUAUCAAUUGACUAACUUUUGUAGGUACGAUUAUGACGAUAUCAAAGGACAGGGUGAAACCUUCCCCUCUUCCAGAUAGCUGGAAACUUUCUGAGAUUUUUGCUACCGGUGUUGUCUUUGGAAGUUACAUGGCUAUGAUGACUGUUAUAUUUUUCUGGGUUUCAUACAAAACUGAUUUCUUCCCGGUACAAUAUCUCUCCUCUCUGUUUCUUUGUGUUAGUUAUCUCGUUGGUUUUAUUUGCUUUGUUAAUAGUAGUUCCAUUAACAUCUAAUCUUGUUGGUCAUUCUUUUGGAUAUCUUAGCAAUUAACUCUUUUCUCAUUUGUAAUUUCAGAGAACUUUUGGAGUUGCAACACUUGAGAAAACAGCACAUGAUGAUUUCCGGAAGCUUGCCUCAGCCAUAUACCUGCAAGUCAGUAUUAUCAGUCAGGCACUUAUCUUUGUGACUCGGUCACGGAGCUGGUCUUUUGUGGAACGUCCUGGGUUGUUGCUUGUGAUUGCCUUUAUCCUUGCUCAGUUGGUUAGUCCUGAACUUCGUUAACUGUGUGCAGGACACAAUGCAGAACCUCCAAGGUUAAGAUUAUGAACUUAGGUAUGAAUGAUUGUUUUGCUUCCAAAACAGGUGGCUACUCUAAUUGCAGUCUAUGCAAACUGGAGCUUUGCUGCGAUAGAAGGAAUUGGUUGGGGAUGGGCCGGAGUCAUUUGGCUUUAUAACAUCAUAUUCUAUAUUCCACUUGAUUUCAUCAAGUUCUUCAUCCGCUACACUCUUAGUGGCAGAGCCUGGGAUCUUGUUAUUGAACAGAGGGUAUGUAUCAGGAACACAAAAAGCUUUUGUACUACUUUGUACACUAAUGUUUCUAAUCAGUUCUCUUGCAUUUCCAUAGGUUGCGUUCACAAGGCAAAAGGAUUUUGGGAAAGAACAAAGAGAGCUGCAAUGGGCGCACGCACAGAGAACGCUCCAUGGUCUACAAGCACCAGAUACUAAGAUGUUCACUGAUCGAUCCCAUGUCAGUGAACUUAACCAAAUGGCUGAAGAAGCCAAGAGGAGAGCUGAAAUCGCUAGGUAAGUGACUUAAACCCCAAUCUCCAGCCUUUGAACAUAACAAAAACAACGUUUCAUUGUCUUCUCUCUGUCUAUUGUUCUCUGUUUUACAGGUUGCGGGAACUUCACACGCUCAAGGGCCAUGUUGAAUCCGUGGUGAGACUCAAAGGACUCGAUAUAGAAACCAUUCAACAAGCUUACACUGUCUAAGAGACGAAGACUCAAAGAGCAACCUGGUCUCAGUUCGUUGAUGAAAGUGUCUCUAGUUAAGUUAGUACAUACUGCAUAUAAAUAUGGAAUUCUGUUAGUCUUCUAUUAGUGGUUUGUUCUGCUGUUGUGGUGAAAGAAGUUAACAAAAAUUUGGUACACAGUUUGAAAUUAGCAAUCUUAUUGUACAAUACAUGUCUAUAAAGAUGAAGUGAUUUCUUCAUUUAAUUUUAAUCUAUGGAGUACACAGAGAUUGACUUAGAGUAAAGAAAAAGAACAACAAGAAAAGAGGGAGACUGAAGAAGAAAGACCAAAAAUAAAUAAGUUUCCAGAUCAGACAGAGUUCUUGUCUUGUAGCUGCUGUUGCUUGGUCUCUUCUUCAUUUUUCUCAAUCUCAGUGAUGUCUUCGUCAUUGCUGCCUUUGUAUCUAUACCAUUUGGCCAUCAACAAGAAGUAACCAAAGUUAACAACCAUGAUUCCUGUGAGCAUGAAAUAGAAAUAAUCCAGUUUCGCUUUGUUCAGAUCCUCAGCUAACCAAUUCCCUGAAGGUGAAUGCUCAGUUGUUCGAUGAACAGUUGAGAUCAAGAAGCUAGCGAGGUAGCUCGAAAUGCCUCCACCUAUAUAGAAGAUAGAACCCGCGAAGCUCUUCAUGUUUUCAGGAAACUGCUUGUAGUAAAACUCCAUUUGUCCAAUGGCAGCAAAAGCUUCUGCUAUGCCUGCAAGUGUGAGCUGCGGAAUCAGCCACAGAGCUGACAUGGAGGAGAUUUCUCCUGUCCGAGGCGCCAUCCCGAGUGUCGGUCUUGUCAGCGCAAAGGUUCUUCUCCGUUCCUCUAUAAAUCCAGAAACUAAUAAACUCAAUAUCGAAAAUACAAUCCCUGCUCCGAUUCUUUGUAAGAGUGUUAUCCCGGUUUCUAACCCGGUCACUCUCCUGAGCGAGGGGACAAGGACACGGUCGUAGAAUACGAUAAAAACUGUCAUGCCCGUCAUUAAGAACACUACAUAGGUUGCGCCAGGAAUCCUGAAGCCGCCAGAACCCAAUCGCCGGUCGCUCUGGAGCGCUUGGAAGACCGGAUAAGUCAUUUGCAUACUUAUUGCAAGGUAGUAAACUGAGGAAGCAAGCCAAAUUGGAAUCACUCUUACAAUGCAUUUCACUUCUUCCACUUGCUGCAAUGUGCAUAGUUUCCAUGGAUCAGAAGCCGCUCCAUCAGAGUUCAACUUGUCCUCUGGGGUCAUAAUAGCUGCUUUGUCGAGAAAUCUGGCAACAUAACAAACCUAAGUCAUUCAGCAAAACAUAAGCCAGAAACAUAUAUAUCAAGAGAACAAAGUAUAAGAGAUUUCGAUUUUACCUCAACUGGUCGGUGUAUUUUAGAGUAGUAUUUACAUAGUUGCGCGGGAUAUGGUUGUAAAGAUCAACCCAAGGCUGCUUAACCGGCUUCAAUCCUCGUUUCUUGAUCGCGGCUGCAAUAACAUGAGCAAUACCAGCCAAAGGACUACCUGAGGCUUUUACUUUUACAUACAAUCUAUCGCCCGCAAAGAAGAUCACGCACGCCAAGAACAUCAGAACCACCGGGAUAGUCAAACCGAUAGUCCAACUCACAUUUGACUGGAUAUACACAAUUAGCGUGAGCGAGAUGAUCUGCGCGAACGUGAAGGUGAAGAAGUACCAGUUGAAGAAACUGUUGAUCCCUUUCUUUCCAGAUUCGGAUUUGGGGUUGAACUGAUCAGCACCAAACGCUAAGUUACACGGUCUGAUACCACCAGCACCUACCACAAGAAACCCUAAACCCAUCAGCAGGAACAUGAUCUGUCCCACACUUGGCCCUUCGCAUGUGCUUUUGUUUCCACAAGCAAUGGGGUGCAAUGAAGGAACUGCAGCAGUCAGUAGUAUCACAAACGAUCCCUACAAAGAUGACAAUAUUUUAGAAAAAUAUUGGCGAAAACAUAAUCAGGUUGGUUUUUUUAUAUGUCAUCAAAGAUUGAAGUACCAGAAAACAAGCGAUGACAGCAACACAGAGAGUCUUGUAGCGACCAAAGUAAGUGUCACAGAGGAAAGCAGCGAUGAAAGUCCCGAAAUUGAUAGUGCCACUAAAGGCAUUGAUGAUAGUUGCAGCUGUGUAGCUCUUAAGGUUGAAUACAGAAGUCAAGUAGACAAGAAGGUUCGAUAAUGUCCCAAUGAUCCCAAGCUUCUCAAAUGUCUCAUUACCUAUGAAUAGCAAAACACAUAAAAUGAUAAGAAACUAAGUUUCUCAUACAGUUACAAUUACAAAGACCCUUUUUAAAACAUUUAAUGCUACAACUUUUGAAACCGAAACACACAACAAAUCAAAGAUUGGAAGACUUUCAAAGUUCUGACUUUUAUGGUUCACAUGAUGGAAACUUAACACUACAUGACUAAAACUGUUCUGUAACUCCCAGAAACUAAUUUUGUCUUAUCCAGAAAUUCUCAGAAACCUUAACUGCUUGAUUUUAAAGUCUCUUCUUUUUCCACGGAAAAUUAAAUUAAAAAAACAAAUUGUAAAAAUGUCUUUUACUCUUUAGUCUUUACCAUAGAUAGAUCUUUAAUGUAAGAAAUCUCUUUAGAUUUAGUUUGACCUGGGUUUCAACCAAAUCUUUUUUUACCAUUUUUUUCGUUCAGAAAUCUCAGAGCAAAAUCUCCAAAGUCGAGAUUUUUGGACACGGUCAACUCAAAGACAAGUAGAAAGAAACGAAAUUAUAAUAACUUCACGGACCAAAUGUUUUAAAAUUCCGACAAAACACAACAACAAAAACAUAUAUGUAUGUCCGAAAGAGAAAAGUGUUUACCAAUGAUGAAAGGCAUGACUCUCCAUCCUCUAUAAACAAGUUUUUUCUGCUCCUCCUCGAAAGAAUCGACCGUCGUCGAAGUAACAUCAUCGGUCGUCGUCGUCGUCGUCGUCGUGGUCUCAACCUCAAGGGGCUUUCUCUCCAUAGUCUCAAUCUGUGUGUAAUUACAACAGAAGAGGUCGUUGUUGUUAUUAUCGUUGUUCUUCUUAUCUCUUCUUACUCUGCUCUUCAUCUCCAAGGCUUCGCUCUUGUUUAUAUAGUGGUGGUGGUGGAUCGAGAGCGAGUGGAUUUUGUCGGAAUCUAUUGAAAAAGGAAAUUAAACCAACUGGUGAUAUUUUUUUGGCUGUGAAAGAUAGAGACAUCUGUGUGAGUGAUUUCAUUUAAUUAAUUUCAUUUAAUUGUUUGCUUAAAAACGUUUCGUUUUAAUUAUUGGUUAAGAGAGUUAUGUGGGCUUAGUUAGUGCUCCAUGUAGGCCCAUUUUUACACUCCCUUUCCCUCUAUUUUGACUAGUUUUAGUCUAUUAGUAUUAUUAUUAAUCUAAAAGUUAAUUUAUUAAACCAAAUUGUGUAAUAUGUUUACAUUAAACCAGUUUUAUGAUUUCUAUUAAACUGGUCAACUGAUGCAAUUCUAUGUUAUUUUAAUUGUAGCUUUCACUAUUAAUAUUUUAACUCUUACAUGAUGUUAUUUUAUUUUAAAUUCACUGCUAUUGACUAAUUUUAGGCUAAUUUAUAUGACUAUAAAUUAGUAUUUAGUACUAAUUAAACCUAUAGUAGCUACAUGCAUGGUUGAAUAAGAUGGUCAAUCAAAACCAUAAAGAUUAAGUUUCUUUCUUUCAAAAGUUCAAGAUUUAUUUGCUAAAAUUUUUUGUCGAAAUGUUUAAAAUUAGCCUAUCAACUUUAAUUAUAUAUAUGAAUACAAAUUUUUUUAAAAAGUAUUGACUAACAAAAGAAAUAUUUAACAUAUCACUAAUUUUAGAUUUUUUUCUUUUCCUUUCUUUUUCGAAACCGAGAUUCUUUAAUUUUCUUUAGAUUUAUUACACACAUAUAUACCUUUGUUUUAUUUAUAACGAAAUUUAAACAGUUUUAAUAAAUAAUGUCAGGACUAAAUUAAUAAGAAUGAAUAACUAAAUAAGUUGAUGCAAAUUAUGCAUGUAAUUAUCUUUGAAUAUAUAUAUCUAUAUGAUCCAUGGGCAGACAAGAGUUGCAAGAAGUCAGUAGUUAUCUUUUCAUGCAUGUUCACCAAACAUUUAAUUCUAUGUUUGCUCUCUAACAUUUAGUUUCUUGUACAGUGACUUUGGUACUUUCACAUUUUAGUUAUAUAUAUAUAAUAUAAAGACAUAUUGAAUACUGGCAUUAGUAAUGAAGUAAACAUAGUGAUACUGGUCUUACAACAAUAGUACUCUAAUUGUUUAGCAUGAAAUGCUAUCUAUGUCUAGGGGUGUGGAUCCAUAUAUUUUAUGAACAGAAUCUAAUGAAGUUGUGAAAGUGAGGCAAAGGGUCCACUUCAUUUACUUCACAUUUAUUAGGUUACUGAUGUGAUAUUCCUACCUUUGGCAUAUAUGAUGAAUUGAUGUGUAUAUAUUGUAGUCCACAGAAUUUGCUAGUUCAUAUCAGAAACCUAAACACACACAUAUACAUAUGUAUAUAUAUAUAUAUAUAGUGGAAAAUAGCCUAAAAACACAGACACACACCUAAAAGUUAUAGUUUUUGUCAGAAAAAUUUAUCUGAAUGUAUAUCUCAUUAGAGAGCUAUACACCAAAGUUACUACAUAUUUGCCAAAUUAAUAUUUAGACCGUUAACGUUCUCUAGCUGUUUUAUUUCAUUAAAACCAUCCCAUCAAAACCCUAAAAAUUGUAUCCUAUGAAGGCACCGGAGCUAAGAGGUUUUGAUCCAAUAUUCAUGUGGUAAAACAUUUAGCUAUUAUAUAUGAUAUGAUAGGUAAUAAUAUCAUUUCUGAAAGCUCAACUAUCAUUGUUUUGUGUGUGUAAUAAUAUGAUAUGAUAGGUGAAACCUUAGAACAUCGUCCAGCUAAACAUAUAUUGUCCUCUUCGGCGCAUUAUGAUAUGAAAAGAUUCCUCUAAUAAUAAUUGAUAGGUGGAAACAAUUUGGAAGAAAGAAACAUGACAAUAUAAAUCAAUGGGUACAUGUUGUUUUAAGAAAUAGGAAUUAUGUAUACGAUACUGUUCUUUCUAAUUUACGAUAUAUAUAUAUAUUGCUUGCAAGGCAUGGACGAUAUGACAAGCCAGUGUUGUUGACAAAGACUGGGGACCCAAGAUCUUAUCUGUACACACCACAACAUUUGUUUCAUUAAACUGAUUCUCAUAUGUUUUAAUAGAGUUCAAGAUAAUACAAAUAUCCCAUAAAGUUAAGCAGAAUAUGUAGAUAUUAUUUUUUUUGGUAAAAGGUUAAGUAGAAUAUGUAGAUAUAUUGAAUUGUAUUUUUAAGUUAGAGUUUUAAUACAUGUAAGAUUGUGCCAGAUGAAUCGUAUAAGUCGUGAACUCCGUACGUUAUCAAGCCGACCCAGAAAAAGUCAUAGACAUUACCAGUUUUUCUUCCUUUUCAAUUAGGUCUUGACUUAAAUAGAUUCCCAAGUCCAAUUUAUUUUUUACUCAAGUAGUGUUCACACACAAUUAUAAUGAAAAUGAACAAUCAAAAUAAAAUAAAUAUUUCUUUAAAACUAAAAUUCAAGGAAAAAUUCUAUCAAAAUUGUCCUACUACUUCGAGACUUUGACAAAUUUGAAACUUUAAUGUAUAUAGUAUACUUCGUUUAUUGUUAAUCGGUUUCGAGUUAAAAUCUCAUGUUUGCUAAUCAUUUCUUAAGUAUUAUGAAACAAAAAUUAAAUGAACAAAUGUAAGAAACCAAAUUAUGAACUUCAGUGCAAGUAACUGAUCUAUAUUAACAUUUUUAAAGACACUUAUGAAAAAACCCUUGCUUUGCUCACUUAUUUAUAAGGUUCUGCCAUUGGUAUUAAUAUUUCUUUUUAAGUAGUUUAAAAAUCAAUAAUGAAAACAAGAAAAUCUCCCUAAAAUUUUUCGAAAAUACUUAAGAAAAUCUUCAAGUUAAAGAAAUAUUUAUUAUUGCGAAAAAAUAGUUAAGAAAAUCUCUAUUAAUUAUUUCGAAAAUAGCUAAAACAAUUUUCAAAUUUAAUACAUACUUAUUAUCUUAAUAAAAAUUUCCAAAAAUAACUAAUGUAAAAUUCAAAAAUAUGAGGCAAACUUCUCAAACUAAAGUCAGUCGAUUUUAUAAAUAUUAAAUAGGCACACGAUUAUUAUUAUUUUUUGUGGGAUACACACAUUAUUAUUUAAUAAUAAUAAUAUAUGAAUAAAUCUGCAAUAUAUAUAUAUAUAUAUAUAUAUAAUAAUUAAUAUAAGAAACAAUUUGAAACUUUCCACAAAAAAUAAGAAACAAUUUGAAACUUUUAAUUUUCUCUAUAUUUUAGUAACUACCAUAACUACUAGGUUUUAAUAUAAUAAAAAUAUAUCAAAACAUUAUUAAAAUUUUCUAAAUUUACCUUUUUCAAUUUAUUAUGUACAGAAUUUCUUUGACGAAAUUUGUGGAAAGUGAAAACCGAACCAUUGAAAUUUAUGCAAUAUUUUGGGUAAAAAUAUGUUAAAAAUAAAUCAAAAAUUACAAAACAGAUCAAUAUUUUAUAUUUCUCCAUUUAUAUUUAAAAGAUAAGAAAAUACAAAUCCUUUAUGCAAUAUUUUGUUAAUUUUUAUUAUUUAAAAUAUUUAACUUUCCCACACCAUUUACCUAUAUAUAUAACCAAAUCUUUGUGUGUAAGCUUAGAAUAUCCAUUUUUGUUUUUCAGUUUUGAUAGCAUUUUUUUCUUUUACUUAUUGAAGUAAAAUCAAGACGGAAAGAUGGGAAAUAUGUAUUUUUUUUUUGGCGAUUAUAUGACAUGAUGGGGUAUAAGACGAGAAAUACUAUAAUAUGCUUCCAACAAGUUAUAUGACGGGUCGGGUUGUAAGAUGGAACGGGUUUGACUUAAUAUUACAAAAAAAAAGAAUAUUAUUAAUCUCACAAUUCAAUACGGGUCAUUUUACUACUUUGUUAACCGACACUAAUAUAAAACAUGUAUAAUUAAACUAAUUUAGUAAAGAUUGAUAUUAUGCAAUCUUAAUAAUUAUUAAAUAAACUCUAACAUCUAUAAAUUUUUAAAAAUAUGAAUUUAAAUAAAAAAAAUUAUCCCGCGGUGUACCGCGGGUCAACAUCUAGUUAAUUAUUAUAAAGAAAGAAAAAAACAAAGAUAGUUUUGGGAUACAAAAUGCGGACUAUUUAUAAUUAUAUUUAUUUUAGCUUCCGGUUAAUAACUGGUUUAAAUUCGAAUGUAUAUCAAUAUAUCAUUUAUGUAAGAUACGACCUGUUUUUUUUUUCUUAUUAAGAGUGGCGUUUACAUAUAUAAAAAUUAAAAAAAAAACAUACAUAAGCAAUACCUAAUUCCAUUAAGAUUGUAUCAAACAUGAAAUUUCCUUGUAAGAGGAAACAAACAUGUACAAUGGGAAACACUGCAAAAAGUUCUAAUUUGGCAGACUUUAAAAAAUACGUUUAACAAUAUUAAAUAUGAACAGUUCUUCUGAAACAUAUAAAAUACGUGUGUAGAGAUAUAUAUAUAUAUAUAUAUAUAUAUAUAAAUACGUGGGUUAUACGUGGAUUACACAAACAAAAAUGUAUGGUGUUGGUGUAAACAGUUUAACGCACAUGUUUUUAAUUGUGAUAAUGUUAUUGCAGUAAUUAACAGUAAAAUAUACGAACCUAUACUAAAUCUGGAUCAUACAGAAACACUAUUUUAGGUGAUGGCUAAACAGUAUGGUCCGGUUCGGUUAAAUAAAUCAAAUAGGACGGCCUGGUAAGUAAUUAUAAUUUGGAUUGGUUCGAUCUUGGUUUCGUAUGCAAAAUUCACAUUAGUAAGAGAUUCUUGGUUAAAUGUCUCAGUCACACGUAUUUUUGCUAAAGAAUUAGUAUACAUGACAAAUUUUUUUCUCAACCAUUCGUUUUUAUAACAUGACAUUGACACACAAACAUAGAACACACGGUUCAAAUUGGGUUGUUAAUUUAUUCAAUACGAGCCAAAAAGAAAUUUUUUAUUAAAAAAAAACAUACGAAAAGAGAAGAAGAGUUGAUGGUGAUGAUGUUGUAGUAGUAGUGUCCGUAUUCGCCAUACUUUUUGGGUUUGACGCGGUUGAUUUGGAAAUUAGUGAUUAUAUCAAAUUGUAGAAAGCAACACUCUUGUAUAUAAAAACAAAGUCAACCUUCUCAUGCUUGUUAUCCAUGUCACGGGUUUUGAACCUUUUCUAGUCUAAUUCACGCGGUCAAUCAUUGGGGAUAGUGGGGAUAAAAUUGAGAUAGUGGUUCCUCAAUUAAACCUAAUCUAGUUACCAACCAUAUCGGAUGAUAAGAAACCCGGUUUAACUUGGUACUUGGACCAGUUUUCUUAUAAACCGAAGUCAUCUUUACUGUAAACUUUUAACUAAUCAAAAUACAAGUAACAAAAGUAAACAACCUAACUAAAAACUACAUGCAACUACAUAACCCAAAUGACGAAUGAAUUUAUUGUAGAUAGAAAACAAGAUCGAACCAAAAGUGAACCGAAGACAAACUAAACUAAAAUGCCAAUCCUUGUCACGUAAAUUUUAUUAGUUGGACCGGCAAGCGAGCCUGAAGAAAAACAAGUGGAAAAUGAAGAGAAUUAUUAUAUUACCAAUUUUCUAAAAAUAAAUAAAAACACAUGGAUCUUUCAAAUUAUGAAUGAAGAAAAUUCUUAAUGGAAUGGAACUGUAUGUUUUAUGUCUAAUCUUUAUAACAUAAAGUCUUAACCACGUGUCUAAUCGUUAUAUGUUUAUCUGAUUGUUUUCUUUUGGCGGUGUAGUUUUCAUUGUUUGAUGGAUAGACUACGACACUAAAUUUGGUCUAACACUUGGACUUGUUGUUUACAACAUGGUUGACUAUACAAGUUCACAUUAUGAAAAUGAUCAAUUAUAGUUUUUGUUAUUAUCGAAAACUGUUGUUUAUUACAUUUGGAGAGAACGUAGUUCAAGACCUUCACUCUUCUGACUUAAAUUAUGAUCAUGUUAUAGUCAAAAAUAUUCAACCUAUCUCUUAAGGGCCAAACUUGCUGGCUUAAUUUAGACCCGUCGGGUGAGGCAACACAUCAACCCGUCAAGAACACAAACUGACCAUCAUCAAAGUUUCUUAUGUAAUUGGUUUAUGACCUAUUUUUCGCUUUGCUUCACAUGAAUAUCGAAAAAGUUGAAAUGUUUCUCUACUUCUUAUGUAAAUGGUGUCCUUUAUAAAAGUGGAAUUGAAUAUGAUUGUUUAGCACACAAAAAAAGGGGAAUAAUAUGAUCCACUUCGAUAUGAAGAAUAUUGCUUUUGUAUGUAUAUACAAUAGCUAGCUACACUUUGUAUCAUACGAGGUCGUGGAGCAAAAGACAAGUUGCCUUUUCCAUCAUUGGGCCGGCAAGUGCUGCAUGCACUCUCCGCCUACGGUUACGUUCUUAAUCCCCCCACGUUUUAACUUUUUCAGUAUGAUCUCUUCGUUAAUUCUUUUUAUAUAUAGUUAAUUAAUUACCUAUACCCCUAAACUAAAUAGUCAUUUUUACAGUCCACACAUUUUGAAAUAAGGUUUAUUUAAUCCAAAAUUUAUAAAAGCAAUCAUUAAAGGCCGACGUUCUCCAAAUAUAAAAACUUCCAAAUUUCGACAAAAAAACACGUUUAUGUCUCCUCCAUCUUUCAUAUGGACGAUUGUCUUUUUAUAUUCCACUGUCUACAUAUAAUGAUCCAAACCAAAAUUUUCUACGUCAUUUAUAUGAAUUUAACGCUAUUUUCUCCGAUAAAUUUUACAUCGUCAAUAAUGGAUCCAUCCAUCUCGGUGGCUUCUUCUUUCACCGUCACCAUCUAUCCUAACUCCACUCUUAUCCUCGAGCAUUUGUUUUGCUUUCUCCAACCAAACUACACUAGCUUAACCCUCUUUUAUCUCAUUUUUUCCUCCACAACAAUCAUCAUCCACCUUUGUUUCCAUACGAGAUUCGUAUCAUGAAAUUGGGUGUAUCGGAACUAUUUCAUAUAAUAUGAAUCAUCUUUUUUCACUUAUAUGGCAUCUUUUGCUCCCAUGUUGGUGAAUUCGACCAAAAGUAUACGCACUAUAAUCUAUAUGUGGUAUGAAAAAAACUGUUCACACUCUACAAAUGUGUUGUGGGAUUAACUUCACAAAUCACACUCUACAAAUGUGUUGUGGGAUUAACACUCAGCACGCACUACAAAUUAACAUUGUAUAAAAAAAAUUAAACACGAUAUACAUAUCUAAUUAUUAAAUCUUUAUGGCUACACGCCUGCAGAAACAUGUUUAAAAUGUAAUACUAACAUUUAUGGGAAGUUUCGACGUCGACGCACUUAACAUUAGCUUCUUCGAACAAGCUAAAAGAGUGAUAUUAUGUUGACGAGGACCUAAGAAAAUAAAAAUUAAUACAUAAAGGCUUUGAUUGGUAUAAAGUUUAUAAGCUUUAUUUUGGUAUAAAGUUUCAUUUAAACGUUCGUUUUGGCGGACGAGGUGGUUGAGCUAUAUUUUUAAUUGUUCACACUCCAGUCUAUAUUUAAUUGUAGUGGACGAUUCCAGCACUCAUCAUCGAGUCAACGUUUUGAUUUGUUCUUUCGUCAUACGUACGUGUUUAAUUUUCAUACAUCAAAAUUUUUAUAAGUAUUUUAUGAUAUGAGCUGAAACAAAUUCUGGUUGCAGUUUUGUUCUUUAAUGAUUGAUACCGAUCGAUGGAAGAUAUUGAUACGAUAUGAUUCUCUCUGUAGAUUUUUUUUUUCGUAUUUUCUUUAUCUAAACUUGGUUGGGUUUUAAAACUACUUUAGUACUUUGUUAUCCUGUUAAAUUACUAUUCUCUCUAUCAAGUGUUUUUAGCCAAAAAGAAUCUUAUUACAAAAAAAAAGUUGUUGUUUAUUCAAACGAAUAUAUUAUAUAUGGGAAUCAACUAGAUACAAUUGUUUAACUUGCGAAGAAUAAAAUUCUAUGAUUUUUGUUUUUGGUCACCAAAAAUUAUGUGAUACGUGUUACAUUGGUACUGGUUAUUAACCGUACGUAUUUUCCUAUAUAUGUUUGUUGUCUUUAAUCAAAAUCAAAAGGUUCGUGUUUUUAAUUUUUGGUACACAAUUUUUUGAUUUCUUACUCGAAUGAGGUAAAAAAAAACAUCAGCAACACAAAUUGUUAUAAACGAAAAGAGAGUAAGCUAGACCCUCUGUAAUCAACAAAAUUCAUAAAACACAAUAAACGAAUAAGUAAAUAUGGAUGUGCAUACUGUAUAUGUUUUAGAAGUUUGGCUAAGUAAAGAUGUAAAGUUUUUUCCUAUGAUACUUGGACGAGAAACUUUUAACAAAGUUUAUUUACUGUUGUUGUAGUGUGUAGUUUUGGCCCAAUAUACUGGAAGACAACAUUAUGGUGCCGCCAUUUUCAGUCACAAAUUAAGUGCUAAUUAUGGAAUAUUGACUUUACAAAAUAACAUCAUUAGCCGAAUAAUAAUAAGUACAACAGUCUAAACCAUAUCAAACGGCAUGUCCAUUUACUAAUAAUUGUGGAGUUUACAAACUAAUAGGGACAGCCCACCACAGUGAAUAUAUAAUUACCACAAUUUAUUGAAGUAGGCUUGGCCACAUAUUCUCUAUAAUUAGAUACAAAUCAACCAUUUAUAAUGUUAGUGUUGGUUAUAAUAUGAUAUAUUCUCGAAGUGGCAAUACAAAUCAACUAUUUAUAAUGGUUAUUUCUGUUAGUGUUAGUUGUGUUGUGGAGAGUCACACUAUGACAGGAAUAUUCUAUUUGUAAUGAAAAAUUCCCACAUGUAAGCACUUUCAAAGGUCCAAAAUAAAAUAGAUUGAAGGUGUUAAUUAGUAACCCUUUUUUGUUCAAUGCCUAGUUAAGUUGGUGUAGUAGUUAUAGCCUUUUUUGCACUGCGAAACCUCCCCGAAUUAAGAAUUUUGUGCUACUCAUUGUUUGAUUAUGUUGUUUUUUACCCGUUUUGGCGAUGUUAUGCUCAGCUUUCAGUCCACUAAUCUUUAAAUACCUAUCCUUUGUAACUAAAUCUAAGCAAACAAAAAAAAACUAAAAUUGUCGUGUCGUAACUCGUAAAUGAAUUGUCCAUGUCGCUUCUUCUUGUGACAAGUGAAGUAGGGAAGAUUAAUCCAGAAACAAUCAAGAGAAAAUUCUUAGAGCCAACAUGCAUCAACAGUACUCCACCCUCCGCAGUCUGCAUCCGCCAGCGGAACCACAAAAUGAAGUGUUGUGAUGAAUAUUUCAUCAGCUACUUAGUAGUCUAAGUGUCUAACCAACCAACGACAUGCAUGUGAGAAUACGUACCUUUUUUUCCAAAAAGAGACACGGUUAGAGCAGGCGAUAUCAUCCAAAAGUAACAUAUAUAUCUUGCUUCAGUUUUUUUGUUGUUUUUGUUUUACUACCCGUUCGUUAAUGGCUUCUAGUAUGCAUGAGACCAAGUCGAUCGUACCAUUUAACAGAGUGAGAGAGACACGUCCUGUCUUUCUGUCAUGACAUGCACAUCUUCUUCCGACAUGUGUGACACUGUCACAUGCACACACACCAAAUACUCUAUACAAUUUUCUGCUGUCAAAUUAACCCAAUCCGACCACCCAAAAAACCCAUUCGCCAAACCCGUAUUAUAUAAUUCCCUGUAAAUAUAACAAUAGAUCUGGUUAUCUGAAUUAGAUCCAGUUUGAGAAUUUUGAGGGAAUGAUAAUGGAACGGAGAAUGCUUUAGUUGUUUCCGCAUCAAUAUCUCUCUUUCUUCUGUUCAGCAUAUUUAAUUUUCAAAUCUUAGUUGAGUUAUUGGAGAAGGAACAUAUCCCAUAUUUUGAUAUAUACUGGGUAUCUUUUAGUGCCCUAAAAUAUUCUUGUUAAUAUGUUAUGUUCUUCAAACUAAAACAUAAUCCCUACCAACCCAAGUGUUUACAAGCAUAUAUAUAAGCCCAACUCGUAUAAAUCUCAAAAGUCAGCCUUUAAAGAGAAAGAAACGGGCCUCACAAACAAUUUUUAAACUAACCGAUUUUAUAAGUAAACGAGCCUACAUAUCUUUAGGAAUAAGCUAUUAAGCAGAAACUUAACUGCCUGUGUUUAUGGGCUUUGUUACAAAGUUUCACAUUCAUGGUCGUCACUAGCCCUGUCUUCCGCAUCAGAUUAAAAGAAAAUUAUAUAUCGUAUUGUACUUGAAGCUUAUCGUACGUCUUUUGUCAAAAUCAAUUCAAGUUCAAGCAAUCUUUAAAAAAAAAGAAGAUUAUCCAUGAUGCUUUUAAAAGGGUAUUGUCAAGAUUGACUUCAUUCAGGUACCUAGCUUGUUGUCUAUCUGUUGUUGUUGUAGUUAUUAAUAUACAUUGGAAUUUUCCAUAUCAUAUUCUCAAUAGUACCUUAUUUUAUGUUGCUUCGCUUUCUCCAUGAUUUUAUAUGAUUUGAUUCAUAUGGAGGUUGAAGGUGCAGAUACUUGGCCUUUUCUGCCCUUGUUAUCAUAAAUUUUGAUAAGUUACUAAUCCUCCUGUCUAAAAAAGUUACUUACUAUAUUAAGACGUCGUAAUGAGUGAUAACCAAUCAAAUUAAUUGACAUUUUUAACCGGUAAUCAAAGAUUCGUUCCUCAUUAAGCAGAGAACAUAAAUUUUGGGUUAUCACAAAAAAAAAAACCUGAUUAAUACUAUAUUUUCAAACAAUAUAUAAGUAUGAUUGGUGUUCACGAUAAGAAACAUGGAACAUGAGUAUGCAUGUGAAGGCGACAACUUCUAAGUUCUAACAUAUAUAACACAUAUAUACAAAUACGUACAAACCUCAGUUUCAUUGACAUAUACUAAACGAAUAAAAUAACGAUGAAUGUAAAAUAAGUAUUAUAUGAAGGAAGCGACUCUCUUGUCAUCCAACAAUGACCUUUCGACUGAUCAAACAGACUCACCCUUUGAACCCCAUCCACCUCUUAUAUAGCCACUGCUUUUAUUUUUGGCAUAUCCCACUUGCAUUGCAUCUAUCAUUUUAUUAUAUAAAGUCAUUCCUCCAAUAAGUAUUACUCUAACACAUGUAGGUCCUUUGUUCUUAAUUAAUCAUUUAAAUAACAUCAUCUGGACAUGAGUUGUAUACAGUUUAUUUGUAUUUCUAGCUGAAUAAUAUAUAGUUUGGUCCCGGAAAAAAAACAAAAACCUAGUCAGCAUUUUCGUAGUUUUUUCAAAGUGAGUGGCGAAAUUUGUGACAGAAUAGGUUCAUUUGUAUAAACAAAAUAACUAGUCGGUAGUGUUAGAAAAUUAAAGAAUUUUUUUUAAAAAAUCCUUAGCUCGUAUUUAGGUCAAAAACCAAUACCUGACUAUCAUGUUCUGAUUUUUUCUUAACCCUUCUACAACAAAUUAAAAAGAAAAAAAAAACUUAAAUUUUCAACUUGGUAUAUAUGACUUUGUAUCAUUCAUAAACUCAAAAAUAUAAAAUAUAUUUACAAACAAAUCUGAGUGUAUUUGUUUAUAUCAUUGUCCACUCUCUCUUUCUCUCUCUCUCUCUCACACACAUCCUUUUGGUAUAAGUAGAAAGAAGGAAACAUAUUUUUGAGUCUUUAUUGGGAAUCAUCAUGGCCUCGCUUCCGGUGAAGCCUAUACCUUCCGGCCACUUACAGCUUCUUCACCGGAAUCUCAUUACUCCUCCGUCAAUGAUAUCCGCCGCCGGUUUCAAAAGGCAGCAUAUCUUAGGAGUCCCUUCUUAUCUAUGUAUUGAUGAAUCUGUGAGAAACAUUAGGUCAUGGGGCACUCGUCGGCGGAUAAGCAAAAGCGCUGGUGUGUCUAUGCCGGUGGCUUCCGCUGAGGAUUUGCCGGCAGUUUCUUGGGAAUCGUGGAAGCCUGACAAGACCACCUUAGCUCCGUCGCUAAGUGACGUCAUUUGGCCUGCCGCAGGUAAUUUACUUAAUUAAAUCUUUGCACCGGAGACAUUAUUAUACAUGCUCACUUUGUUAGAGUUGAUAUCAAUUUAUAUUCUUCUUUUAUUUUUACGUCUAGUUGAUAUUAUUCGGAUUCUAUAUAUAUGCAUCUCAUUUCAUAUCAGGCAAAAAGUAUGAGUCCACGACUCCUAUUUUGGGGUUUAGAAAUAAAAAUAUUAUACUAAAUUAGAAAUGCUAAAAAUAACAUAUAUUACAGCAGGUUUCUUUGUCCAAAGACAAGGGAAUAGAGAGAGAAAGACAGAGUGAUAAUGUCUCUUCCAACAACCAAAUAGCUAUUGGUAUUUGGUAAUAGGAUAUGAAUCUAACUGUUUGAGGUUGACCAAUUCUCAAAUUUGAGGUUGACCAAUUCUUAAUUCGUAUAUAUAAUCUAUAUUCGUAGAAAUGUAAGGAAAAGGUUUAUGAAUUUCAUAUGGUUAUACAUAUGUAUUAGAUAAGUCAUAUAUAUAUAUAUAUCGUCGAUCAAAUCCUCAUUUAUUAAUCGUGGUCUUAUCAUUUUAAGUCAUGUUGUUAUAAUUUUGUGAACAUGCAUGCAAUUGAAUUAUUUGGUUUAUUAUAUGUCAUUUUACCUUCAGAUAUAUGCUCAUAGCCUUGAAUCUACAACCUCUUUAAUGUGUGUGUGUUCAAAAAUGUUAAUUAAAUAUUGGUAUGGGUAAAGGAGCGUUUGCGGCAAUGGCGAUAAUGGGAAGAAUAGAUCAAAUGUUAAACCCUAAAGGGAUCUCAAUGUCGGUUGCACCACUUGGUGCCGUCUCUGCCAUACUCUUCACCACCCCUUCUGCUCCUUCUGCUCGGGUAAAUUUCAUAAAUGCAAAUUCUCUUAUACUUGCGAUUGAAACGCUAAAACAUAGCUAGCCUUUAAACGCUAAGUAGUGUGUGUUGAUCAACAUGCAUGGUGAUAGGGUGCAUGUGUAUAUAUUUCAGAAAUACAAUAUGUUCGUGGCUCAAAUAGGUUGUGCAGCCAUAGGGGUGUUGGCGUUCUCCGUCUUUGGGCCAGGCUGGCUUGCCCGCAGCACCGCCCUGGCCGCUUCCAUCGCGUUCAUGGUCAUCGCUCGUGCCAACCAUCCACCUGGUAAUUCAAUAUCCCACUCUAGAUCUUCUUCUUUUUUCUGGAAGUUAUAUACUAAAACAUUGAACUUGAAGUACACAUUUCCACUCUCCACAUUGAUAAUAUUAUUCCCUUCUUUUUCAUGUAUUAAUGUAUAAUGCAUACUUAAUAUCGGAUUAAUAUGAAAUAGUUGAAUGAUAUAUAUGAUUUUGAAAAAAACAAACACAGCGGCGAGUUUACCACUGCUGUUCAUAGAUGGAGCAAAGUUACAUAAGUUGAACUUUUGGUACGCAUUAUUCCCAGGUGCAGCCGCUUGUAUCCUCCUCUGCUUCCUCGUAAGUUACCUAAUUCAUGCUUUCAAAAGUACAUGAUAUUUGCUUAAGUACCUCUUCAGUUCUGCUUUCAAACUAUAUAUUUGCUUAAUUAGAUAUUGUACUUUUUUUUUUGCAGCAAGAGAUAGUGUGUUAUUUGAAGGAAAACUUAAAAUUUUGAAAAAUUGGAAACAUGUUUAUAUAUAUGUAUACAACACAUAUUGGUGGAGGGGAGAUCGAUCCUGUGAAGUUUUUUGAUUCAUGUUUAGACGUUUACGUACGGUAGAUGCAUGGUCGACGUAUAUAAAUGAUUACAUACAUACAAAUAUAUAUACGUUUCCGCUAAACUUGUAAUGAUUUAUUUUCCAUUUUCUUGGUCUUUUACGUUAACCUCAAUUCAUUUAAAUAAUAGUAAUGUGUAUCAAUGUAUCAUCGUACAUAUAUAUACCAACACAUGGACAUGGUGGAAUGCAGAUUAAUACAGAAAAAAAAAAGUUAUUUGUUCUAAGAAGAUUAUACUAACGGUAUGAUUUACUUGGGGUUUUUGGAAUUCUUUCUCAAAAUGUUAAUUAUCCUUCCUUGUGCUGUGAUUUCAAUUGUGACUUUUAUGGCAAGACCACUGAAUAUAUAAACUAUUUCACAGGCUUCGUAUACGUUAACUUGGAAAUUUGCAGGAUUAUCUCUUGGUUAUCAACAAAUUUCUUAUCGAAACAAACAUAUAUAUGUAAUGUUAAAUUCAUACUUAUCGAAACAAGUAUAAAUUCAUUUUUUUUAAAAAGACUCUAUAAUUAGUUUGUUGGUGGUUUUAUUUUGCAGUCAACACUCUUUUCAUAUUUUAGUCAUUUCACAUUCGAAACUAGCCAUUACCGCUGCUUUUACGAACGAAUACUAAAAUUAUCAGUCAAUGGAUGCUAAGUUUAUUUUGACUACCUUCUUUAAUAUUAAGAAGUAUAUGUAUGUUCUUUGUCCCAAAAAAAACGAAGUAUAUGUAUGUUCUUGUUCAGUUACUGGGAAAUCUUAAUUAGUAUGUAUAUAAUUAAAACCAGUUAUGCUAGCUUAAAGCUAAUUUAGCUAUUCACAGAAAGUUGUGUAAAGCGGAAAGCAAAAGACACCAACCAUUUCAAAAACCCAUAGUGCAGAGAAAAGUUGGGCUAUUCUAUUAAAUAAACGGAUUAGGCCAAAAAUAGAUAUUGAAAAAUAGAUGUCAUUUGUUUUGGUUACUCAAGGCACUUCACUUAGACUUGGCCUAUUCUCAGUUUCAGUGCUUCUGGUUCUCUAUGACUUUUUGGGUUUAUAACAUUGAAAAAAUUGGUCUUCACCUGAAACCAUUAACCAAGUAAAAGGUAUCUGAUCAAUGUCUAUCAUGACAGAGUUUGGACAUGAAUAAUUCUUCACCCUUACCAUAUGUAAACCCGAUUUAUUUACAUUUCAAGACUGUUGAAGCUGACAAGGAAUGGGUAGGCAAAUCAGUCAAGAGUUAGCGUUUUGAGUACAAAAUUUCCACAGGCUCAUUUCUUUCUCUCAUCUCCGGGAUGGAGAUAGAUCAGUCGAGACAGGUGGAACCCCACCAUUCUCUGCAGUCUCCAGAGCGGUAUCUGUGUGGACUGGGUGGAUUAGGGAUUGAAGUCUCAAAAAGUAGCUCUCGCUUUGAAGUUGGCUUCUUAUGUAUCUAGCUUCUGUCGUUUCUGUGUUCACUUGUGGGGGUUGUUCUGUUCCUGAGCUCUGGAGGUUGGAUAAUGCGCUGAGAUCAAGGUCUGGGAAAACCGAGCACCGGCACCGGGGACAUUUCACAUUUAAACGCAGCCACUGGUCUAUGCACUCCACAUGGAAAUUAUGGGCGCAAGGUAAACCUCUAACCUGUAAAAUUCAGACAAAUUCGGCUCAUAUAAGGAAUGCAUUGAGACAAGAAAAGCACGCAAGCACAGUAUGGAAACAAGGCGCUAGUAUUCAAUAUCUACCAGAAAAAUAUAAAUAAGAAGUUGGUUAAUCCCUAGCAACGGAAAAUUUUUAGAAACUGAUAUUUAGUACCUCAUGGCCGAUAUGGAACUCCUCUAAGCAGAUUAAGCAUUCACCGCAGUCAUCUGGGACAGCUUUUAAUCUGAACUUUGGAAGUUCUUGAAUGAGUGCCUCGACAGCUUCAGUCUGUUUAUCAAAGCAUCAAGCAUUAGACGAUUGGAAUCUUGAGACAGAGAUAUGUUAAAAGUAAAUUUGAACAUAAUCACAUCCUGCCACUAAUAUAUUCUUUGACAUCAUUGGCAAAGAUGAUUUCGGCUUCUCUACAAAAUAUGUCCAUAGGUAUUGGAAACAGACAUAUUUAUGUUAGGGAUAAGUUACUAAAUGCUUAGGGUGCUGACAGUAAAGGACCAGACUUGCCUGAGCUGGAGUCAAGUAAAGUCCAGGAUGGUAUGUAGCAGCAUCUUGACUUAUGCCUCUCAUCUCUUGGCCUGCGGCUUCAAAUGCCCAGUCAGGUACCCUAAUCAUGUCAACUAAAAUCUGGGUUCAAGAUAACAGACAUUAAAAUGUUACUCAGAAGUGACAGAGACUAACUACUUACUAGAAGUUCUUGGAAACAAAAAUCAUAAUGACAAACUACGUAAAUGUGUAAACUGUAAAGGAAGUGAAGUUGAAAAAUAAGAUCCUGAAUCCUACCCCGAACUCUGAAAUCGGAAUACCCUGCUGAGCACGUAAUACGUGUACCUGCCUUCGUGUCAACCACUAUCAAGUAAACUCAUAUUAAGUGGGGUCCCUUCUUCAAACCAACAAAAAAAGAAAGCUUGAUCAAAAUCUACCUUUCUGACACAGAUGCAAGCAAUGCAGAGGAGGCCACAGUAGCUGAACAUCAGCCAAAUAAGAAAACCCCAUUUUUGGCCUUCUUCAGGUAACUAUCACAAGAGAAUACAAACUAAGUUACUAACUCAGCAACAUAUUUCCAACAAGAAUAAUCAUAUACCAUGAUCGUAAAAAACGCUUACACAGAUUUUCGCCCUAGAGAACCAUAGUGAACCGAUUACAGUCCAAGCCCACAAAAAUGGAUACAGCAGCAGAGACAGGACAGAUAGGACUACCACUCUUCCACAAAACAUGGCGUUCCGCUGUUGACUUCCAAAAUCCCUAAAAGAUGUCCAUACCAGAAAUUACGUCACAUAAAUAACCAGAUAUUCAUAAAACUUUGCUACCUAGGGAGAUAGAGAAAUGUUGAAACUAGCUACUUCUGAGAUCAAGCUUGAACUCGAAGAGCCUAUUUUGACUGGAGCUACAAAGAAAUUCUAUGCUUCCCAGUUAGCUUAUAUUUAUAAUCAAAUCCUUCUCAAUGAAUUACAUGCCUAUCCAAGGAAAAAGGAUAGCAAAGACAAGAUUUCGCAACAGUUUCGUCUUUAGAUAACAACUCUUGGUAGUCAGGGAGAAAGAUUCCAAAAGGUAAGAACCUUCAAAUUAACGAUAACUCUAGGACUAGGAGAUUUGGAUGGAACUUACAAGCCAAGUCCAGCAGCAAGACCAUUGUCAACAAACAUGAAGACUCGGAAGAUAAACACAGUGGUGUAAUCGACCUGAAGUCAUAGAGACAAACAAAACCGUGAGAGCAAAAUACCAAAAUCUAAAGAUUCCAAGGAAAGGAACUGAAGAUGACAAUAAGCAAAGAGCAACAAAAACUGAACAGAGGUGCACCUACCACUAUCCAUAUAUGCAAAGGGUAUUCACACGAAAGAUAUCUCUUCCAAUUGACAGCUACAAUGAUGCUACAACGCAAAUAAACAUUAAGGAAACAAAACCGAAAGGUUAUCUAGAUCACACCUUAAAUAAACCCUAGCUAAACAAAAAAUUUCAGAACAAGAUUUCAGACUAGUUCCUCUACUCCAAGAGAAACAAAACCAAAAUCAAAUCUUCAAAAGAUCAAAAGAAGAAGAAGAAGGAGAUGUAAAAAUUAUUCUACUUUUCCUUCUGAUUAACCCAGCAAUACCUAAAAGCUAAAAAAAAAAAAAGUAUCUUGUUCGUCGUAUUCGUAUGUAUAAAAGUGAAGAAAUCAUCUCCAGGACUGAGAAUUCUCAGCUCGAUCCAAAGCAAGAACAAAACUGUAUACCCAAAAAGAAGAAUGAAAAUAAAUAUCGCGGAAUCAAAAGGAUACACACUAGUCGCAAGCAUCGACAAGAAGAACCCAUCAUACCUGCACAAUUUAACAACAACAAAAAAAAAUCAGAAACCCCUAAAACUCGCAAAAAUGGGGAAUCGAUGAUCCAAAAAAUCGAAAUCUGUCUCCUUUAGAUCGACCCAAGUGAAGAGAAACUCACCACUUGAAAUCGACACCUCUCAUCGCCAUUAGAGUGAGGUAGAGGUGGAGAAAAAGAAAAAAGAAAAAAAAAAAAGGAAGAGAGUGAAAUUUUGAGACAAAGGAUAAGAAAAAUGGCGGAAUCGAUUGUCGAAAGCGUGAGCUGAUUCAGUAUCUAAGGGGAUUAGGAUUGAGAGUGAGAGAGAAAGCGAGAAAAGGGAGAAGAUUUGGAGCCAACAAGUUGCAAAAUUGCGAUGAAGAAACUUAAUAGAGAGAAACAAAACUUCUGGCUCAGGAAGAAGUAAUCACGAAUUACGUCAUUUUUUAUCAGGCGUUCAACAAUUUUUCGUCACUUGUUAGUAGUUAAACCAAACCUUUAAUCAAAAAUGGAGUUAAACAAAUACUAAACGUAAUAGAUUAUUAGUGUUUGUACUAAUUAGGUUCAUGUAUUUUACAGCAAAAGGCCAAAAAGUAAUCUAACAAUACAUCUCCACUACUGUAUUUUUAUUAUAAAUAAAUUCUAGGUAUUUCACCAAAAAUACGUUGACAAUAUUAUUUUUUUAACUAGUAAAUUGCAAUAAAAAGAAUAAAAAUAUAGUUUUAAAUACACACAUUAAAAUAAAAAUACAAAACGACAGUUUUUAUUUAAAAAUAUAUAUAUUUAUAUAUCUUUUAAAUUUUCUUGUGAAACAGAACGAAUAUUGGCUUUUGACAUAAUAAAAAAAAGAUAAUUAAAAACUACAUUUGAAUUCAUUAUGAUUUAUCUUGAAAUUCUUUUAGUUUAUGGUUAAGUUCUAGUUUAAAAAUACUAUAUAUCUUCUAGUACCGCGAUAAAGUUAUUGUUGCAAUUAUCAGUUUCCACAUAAACCUUAUGAAAUCAAGUGAACGCACGCAUGUGUAAGUGAGUGUAAAUGUGUAACAGCUAUGUGAUAUGGAAGAAGAAAAAACAUAACAGUAAGAACAUGAAAACACAUUCAUUUAAAGUAUCAUAAUCCUUUACUCAAGUUACAAACACUGGCUUUAAAUUUUAUUACUGUUAAACUUUAUGGAGUCUCUCUCUAUCUUUUGUUUUGAGGAUUUAUGAUGAGACCACAAAACUGCAGAGGUCAUCAGAUCCAGGCAGGCUUAUUCAAAGCAGUGACGACUGCCUUGAUCUGCAAGUAAUUGUUGAGACUGUAUAUGCCUUUCUCUCUGCCAUUCCCACUCAUCUUGUAUCCACCAAAUGGAAUGGCUGCGUCAAAGACGUCGAAGCAGUUCACCCAAAUCGUGCCAGCUUUCAGAGCCCUCGAAACCCUGUUUGCGGUGUCCAAACUCUUUGUGAAAACCCCUGCGGCUAGUCCGUACCUCGUAUCGUUCGCCCUCUUGAUCACCUCAUCCACAUCACUGAACACAACAUUACAUUUUUGGUUUAGGCCUUAUGAAAGUAUAGCAAAGGAUAUUGUGACUUAUUUGCUUACUGGAUGGGUUUUUUGUAAUUGAGAUUAGCCUGGUCUUACCCGGCUACACAUCGCUACUAUUCUACUAAACACAUAGCACUCUAUGACUCAUGAGUGCGUGCGUACCUGAACUUCAAGAUUGAUUGAACUGGACCGAAAAUCUCGUCUUGAGCAAUAAGCAUGUUGUCCUGAAUUUGUUUAAGAUUAAUGCCAAGGAGAAUUGAAACAGAAGAACAUUAAAGACGCCUUGGAAGAGUUUUCUUUUUAUACCUUAACAUUAGAGAAAACUGUAGGUUGGAUGAAGUAACCUUUGUCACCAAUCUGAUCACCACCACAUUCAAGAGUAGCAUUGCUUUCGACACCUGACCUUAUGUACUUCAUCACUUUCUCGAAUUGCUUCGAGUCAAUCUAUACAUAUUUUAAAAAAACCCAAUCACAUAACCAAUCAACAAAAAGAAAAAGGCUAAACUCUAUAUAUUGCAAGGAUUGUGUAUGUGUUACCUGGGGGCCCUGUUCAAUGCCUUUCUUGAAAGGAUCACCAACCACACGUUUCAAUGCGCGUGCCUUUGAUUUCUCAACAAACUCAUCAUACACUUUCUCAUGAACAUAUGUACGAGACCCCGCACAGCAACAUUGGCCCUACAAAACCAUUACUCAAAAUUAUCUCAGAAGCUAGCUAAGAUAUUGAGCCAGCUUAGCUCAAGGUAUAUAUUUUACUACAGACAAAACCUGGUUGAAGAAGAGGGCAAAGUGCGCUUGCUCUACAGCUUUAUCGAUAUCAGCAUCUUCGAAUACAAUGAACGGUGAUUUCCCUCCAAGUUCCAGAGUUACUGGCUUGAGAUUGCUGUUAGCAGCCAAGCCAAGUAUAAUUUUGCCCGUAUCAGUCGAUCCUGUGAAAGCAAGCUACAGGAAAAAUCACACUAUAACAUAAGUUUAGUUUCUUAUAGAAGUCAAGAGCAAGAAAAUUGAUAUAUCUACCUUGUCUACAUCCAUGUGACUCGCGAGGGAAGCACCCGCUGUUUGACCAAAUCCAGAAACUAUAUUCAGAACACCGGGUGGAAGACCCGCCUAUAGUAAAUUUGAAGAAACAUUGUUACUCAUAGCAACAAUGGAAAGUAGAAAACGAAUAGAGAUUCUAUCGCAUGUAUCUUACUUCAAGUAAAAGCUUUCCGGCAUAGAAAGCGGUAAGAGGUGUUUGUUCAGCUGUUUUGAGGACAAUGGUGUUACCACAAGCAAGAGCAGGACCAACUUUCCAAGCAAACAUCAAAAGCGGAAAAUUCCAUGGAAUGAUCUGUCCAGCUACACCUAUUGGUUCAUGCAAUGUUUGGACAUGAUAGUUUCCAUCAGCUGGAACAGUUAGUCCAUGGAUCUUAUCCGCCCAUCCUACACACCAGAGCAGAACCAAGAAUGUUCAUUCACAGAAACUAACACCAAAAGUAAGAGAACUUCACAAGAAUUCUCAAGGUUAAGUUAGUGUUAUGAUACCAGCAUAGUAACGGAACAAUCUGGCGAACAUUGGAAUCUCUACGUUCUUGGAUUGUUGGUAAGGUUUGCCAUUGUCCCAUGUCUCUAGAGACGCCAGCUCUUCACUGUGUUUCUCAACCAAAUCUGCAAACCUCAGCAUUACUCUUGACCUUUCCUGAAACCCAGAUCAUCAACCAAAUGAGAACAUAUCACACUAAAGUUCAUAAAUAUAGAGUCCCAAGAAGAAUAUCUAUAAACAUACAUAAGCACUCAUUUUAGGCCAAGGUCCUUCAUCAAAGGCCUUCCUUGCAGCUUUAACCGCCCGAUUGAUAUCUUCAGCAUCGCCUUCAGCUACUUGCGCAAUGACUUCACCUGUCCGCGGAUCAAGUGUCGGAAACGUCUUACCUAAAAUCAAAAAUUCGAAACAUCAACUAUUACCGCUCACUGGAAUCUCAAGACUCGAAAUUUGCAAUUUUCCCAAUACCAUCAACUUGGCAAAGAUAUAAAAAUGAAAACUUUAAUCACCAGAAGCAGCAUCAACGAAGUUCCCAUCGAUAAGGAGCUGAGUAUGAGAAACUUGAACAGAGGGAUUAAUGAUUUCCUCAGCAGCAGAAGAGGUUCCAAAUCUCCUUAAGAUCCCUCCAUUGUAACAAUUCCUCCCUGAAAAUAUCGUCAUGUUCAUAAAUCAUCAUACCCAAGAUUCACCAAUCAAACACCAAUAGACCCACAAAUCAAAGAAUCUACUUUUCAGUCUCCUUUCAUUGGAAAUAACGUUAAUUCGAGGAAGAGUUGGCAUAAGCUCAGUGAAGAAGUCUAAUCAGAACAAACUAAAUCUAGUAUAGUUUUGAAACAUGAAGAUACUUUGAGAGAUCCACUGAAAACAGAGACAUGGAACAGUGAUAUGUUAGUAUCUAUGGGAUUAAUACCUUGAGAACGAAACAGUAAGGGAGAUGAAGCAGACAAAGAUCGAGAUAAUAGAGAAGACACUCUACGAGCCGCCAUGGAUGGAUGGAUGCACACAACCAGACGAGCUUCAAAGCUUUUCAAAGCGUCAAAGUUCUUAUCUUUUUUUUUCUUCUUGGGAUUUUCUUCCUCUCAAGUCUCUCUCUCUCUCUUAAAUGAGGAAGUUUAUAUUUGUGUGAUUUGAAGGAGAAAAGAAUCCAACGGUCUAGAUCUUACGCAAUCUCAUACACACAUGUCGCUUAACUUGCACUCUCUUUGCCUCGUGUUGCCGUACUUUGAAUGGCUAUUUUUUGUUUGUCAGUUUUCAAAUAAGAACUGUAUACUAUAAUAUGAAAAGACAAGAGAAGCAAUUCAACUAAUAAGAUAAAAUUCAAAAUUGUCUUGCCGUGAUCACUGAUUUCUAUGUAUGUGUGUGUAUUCAUAUUAAUUAGUUUGAAAUUAUUUUUGUUGUUUUUUUUUGUUUUGUGUGUGUGGAAAUUAGUGGAUGAAUGAUAAUGAAAAAUGAAAUAGUUGCAUGUUAUGGUGUGAUGUCGUUUUCUAAGAGGUGGUUGUGUCAUCUACUUGGUAUGUUUUUUUUGUUUUUCCCAUCUUUUUUUGUUGAUAGUGUUUUCCACAAAUAAAGAAAUAUUCUUUUCAUUUUUAUAAAUAAAUAUGAAGAUUUAUUUAUUUUGGUCAGAAAUAUGAAGAUUUUGUUGAUAAACAUUUUGUUUGACUGCAGAGGCAAAAAUUGUACUGCCGAAAAGGUUAGUAAUCAAGAAAUGAUACAACUUUGUAAAAUUAUAUGUGUCAUUCUCAUUAUUUUCCCCUAAAGUAUUGUCAUUGUCCAAAUUCACUUUAUAAUUAAUUAUAUAUAUUUUAAAAGUCACCUAAAAUGUGUUGAGAAACUUAAAAGUCCAUUUAAAUCGACGGUGUGAUGUUAUCAGUAAAACCUACUAGGCUAGCUACAGUAUAAUGAAAGAAGUCCAUACAAAUAAAGGAUGUAGGAGCCAUGACUGAGCUGGAUAGAAAUUGACAUAUAACCAACCGAAACUAUUGUAUUUACUUUUUUUCUGAAUAUAAUGUUAAAUUGUUUUUUUUAAAAAAAAUAAACGUUUUUACUAGUGUAACAAGAGUUGAAAAUUUUGUUGAAAAAUAUUUAAUUUAAUAACAUUACCUUUUAAGAUUAACUAAGUACGAGAUUGGAGCCACCAAUUGAAACCUGCAUCAUACCUCUUAUCUCCCAUUCUUCGGAUAGCAUGAAUCCAAAGCAUGAAUCUGAUUUUUAAUUUGUUUAUCAAUUCAUUCUAUGAUUAUUGAUGCUGAGUGAGACGAGUCUCCAUGCUUCCUUUAUGGAGACUAUUUACUUUAAAUCUUGCAUCUGCAUGUAAUCAUGUUUCUUAAUAAACCUAAUUCUAUUUUUGGUUACAUCAAAUUAGAUCAGUGUCUGAAAAUCUUAAAUGCAUUUGUCACAACAACAAAAUUAGAAAAAUCCUGGAUCCUCUGGUUUAAACAUUUUAGGCAUCUUCAAAGAUGGAUCAUCAGGAUCAAUUCUUGAAGACCCUCUUUGGUUCCCUAAAACACCUCUCUUCGUAUUAGCCGCAAACUUAGACGCUAAUAUCGUCGCACUCAAAUUCUGAUUAUUGCUGCUGUUCUCCUCUCCGUUACUACUCUCCGGCAUGGUCUCAUCGUAUUGAUAGUCUUCAUCAUCAUCAUAAUAGUAGUCCUCUCCUUCCUCUUGCCUUGCUAAUUCCAUUGCUAACUUCCUCUUCACGUACCGUCUCCACGCAGCUUGUAUAAAACAAGUUCCCCAUGCUCUCCAUUGAUGUGAAUAGUAUCUGAACAGAGUCAAAACAUAAAGAUCAAGAAACCUUAUAGCGUAUCAAUCAAGAAACCUUUAUUGCUUUUGAGACAAGAAACGUAUGAUUACCUGAAAGCAUGUUGGAGUUUCUUGCUGUGGAGACGUCUGAAUUGGUUAGCUACGAACUUCAAGUCCUCUGCUCGGAGAGCGAAAGCUUCUACCUCAGAGAGAGUCUUAACGGUUCUAGUGGACAAUGGCAGAUUAACAGUAAUAUUUGGCAUUAAAGCCCAAGUUAAAAGUUCUUCACCGCAGAAAUCUCCUGGUCUAAGCGUGAUGGAGUUAAAAAACCCUGACCGUCCACCAUCUGUAGUUGAACUCUCCACCUGACCUCUAAUGAUGAAAAGCAUCUCGUUUACAGGAUCGCCUUCACGCGUCACAUACGUGUCUUUUGUGUUCAAGGAUGGAACUAGACGCUCACAUAUCGCAUCCAAGAGCUGGUCAUCCAUCUGUGCGAAGAACGGCACCUGAAAAAAUCAAAUGAACAUAAAAUUUAGGGUUUAUAACUUGAACUGCAAAUAAUAAAAAUGUGGUGUUUCCAUGGUAUUGCAUACUCGGCGAACGAGGGCAAGACAGAGAUGUCGUUGGAUCUGGCGACGAAGAUCCAGCGGUAGAGCCCGUAGGAUAGCUUCUUCAUCGACUCCACGAGUCGUUAGCCAUUUGUAUUGGACGAAUCGCCUUACACGCUCUUGUAACUCUUCUGGCAAUUGCCUAUGUCGCAUCCAUUCCUCUGUGUCUCUUCUUCUGACUCUCCAUUCAUCUAACCUAGCCGUCGUCGAUUGUAGAUAGUUCUUCAAGAAUUUGGAAAUCAUUUAGACUUCAUUAAAAGCUAUGGAAAGACCAUAAAUUUAUUAAGUUACCUGAACAUUUCCAAUGAGAUGAGAGAAGAAAACUAGCCCCGCAACACAGAUGAAACAACUGAAUAUAGUCUCACUACUCAGUGUACUCGCUGCAAGACUUUGUCCAUAAGAACUACACAAACCAAAUCAAGGAUCGAUUAACUAAUGGCGGCGACUACGGUUUUAUUUGAUUCAAGACUGAUGAAAUUUAACCUAACCUGAGGUUACGAAGACCCCACCAAAGACAGUAGAAGUAUUUAUCAUAGAAAGGAGAAGAGGUGACAUCAUUAGUGAACGCAUCACCGAACAUACCAAACUGAAAAUGCUGGUCAUCGUCAUUGCGUGCAUCACAAUUUGAGAGAACCCGAGUAAUCCGCAUCCAAGCUUGUCUACCUGGAUCUUGCAAUGAUCCACAAUCUAGAAACAAGAGCGUACAAGAUGGUGAAUGCGUUGCGUUCAUCUCUUUAAUGCACUCUCUUCUCCAGCAUUCAUGCUGUCUUUGGAUCGAUAAAACGUACCAAACCGAUCCAAGAACCUAAAAGGAAAACCAAGUUGUGAAACAGAGAUAUUUUGAUGUUAUGUAUUGAGAAAGAGAAAUGGUUGCUUACGUGGCUCACAAGCAAGUAGAGGAUGAGAUUGUAUGCUGCACCAGACCAUGCUGUUUUGGCUGCGACACCGGUUGCUUUAAUGAUCCUUCGGUUGAGAGGAAGCAUGACGACGAAGCGUGGUACGUACUGUAUCAGGACGAUCAAGGAAAGUGUGUGGUUCUGAUGAGCUGCGUAUCUGAAUUCUCCAGCAUUUGGUAUCACAAACCAAAUCAUUAUCUGAGAAAAAAAAAUAGAAAUUUUACAAUUUCAGAACAUAAUAGUUUCUUGAUUACUAAUGUUUUCACUGAUUACACGAUUCCAUAGAAAUGUGAUUUAUGUUAACUUUUAAUGGAGUUAUCCAUAACGAAAAGAAAAAGAAAAAAAGAAUUGAACCUGAGGAAGAGGAAGCGAGGCAGCGAGGUCAAUGACGAACUCAGUUUUAAGGUAGCGAAUGGCAAUUUCACGACGAUCCAUGACAAGCUCUCCACGACCAAAGACUCUUGAUGAUUUGGAGACAAAGGCGGUUUUGAAUUUGAGGAAAAUGUGGAUGAGAAAGGAAAGAUCAGCUAGGGUUCGGAAAAAGGUGACGAGGAUACCAAAACUGACGUCGAUGGACAUACAUGCGGUUCCGGCUUGGACAAUGGGGAGAUAGAAAUAAAGAGGAUCGAGAAAGAGAGCGAGAAGGCAUGUGACGAGGAAGAUGUGGUUCCAUCUCGUGAUUAGGUCACCUCUCGGAUCGAGGGUUUUGUUACGGAGUUCAGAGAAGAUGGAUCGGCGGCGUUGGUUGUUAGGGUCGUUGUUGUUAUGACGUAGAGAAAAUGCCGUCGGAAAAUUGCGGAAGCGUGCCGAGGUGUAAAGAUGGAGAUUGCUCAUUUGGAGUUUGCUUGUGUUUGAAGUUAUGGAAGAGAGAGAUUUGUGGGAGUGGGAAGAAUGAAAUGAUGUUGGAGACAAUUAAGGACAGAAGAAAGAAAAGACUCUGUUUCUAUGAAAUGCUAUUUUAAGUUAUCAAUUAGUAUAUUUUUUUUUUUCCUUUUACAUAAUGUUAUGUGGUUAUGUUUUGUAAUAUGUGUGUUAAGUUAAAUUUAAUAAAUAUUUCAAAAAGAUGUUUCUGCGUAAUAAAAAUUCAUUAUGGCCAAAUGUUUAAAACUAAACUCGCAUUUGAAUAAGGAUGGGUAAUUCAUUUCUUUUCGAAAUAUAUAGUAUGACUUAGUCUAUGAUUGCUUCUUAAAAUAUAGAGUGCAGCCAAUGGUUUGAUUACAGCUAAAGACAGUUUCGUGUUGGCUUUGUAUUAUUACACCAAAACCCUUCAACUCUGUUUUGAUCCUUUCGUAAUGGAAGUUGGAAAAAGAGAUCUUGAGCCGGAGACCACCACCUCCGAUCCACUUGUUGGUGAGUCUUCUUGCGGUUCUUGCCUCCCCGGCUUCCGAGCCAACGCCGCUAAAUCCUCAUGGUGGCAGCGAAUUCACAGCAACCAUCACCAUGAGCCACGGUGGUGGGUUCGAGCGUUUCUAAAGAUCCGAGAAUGGUCAGAGGUCGUGGCUGGACCACGGUGGAAGACUUUCAUCCGUAGAUUCAACCGAGAUCGACGCCAAGGCCGCGACUGGGACGAUGCGGCCAAAUUCCGAUAUGAUCCUUUGAGUUACAACUUGAGUUUCGAAGAUGAAUACAAAGACGACGAAGCAGGAUUUGGUGGACUCCGAAGCUUCUCGAUGCGUUACGCUUCUGUCCCCGUUGUUUCUAGUAAAGCUCCCGCCGUUAUAAGCGUUGACCCCGUGAAACGAUGAUGACUCUUCUUGGGAAGAUCGAGUUCUCUCGCGUGAGUUGCGUUUCCUCCUUGUUUAUUUGUUUACGUGAUCAACUUUAGUUAUUUCUUUACGUGAUCAACUUUAGUUUGGUUUGAUUUAUUAUUUAUGGUUGAAAUUUACUCUAUGUAUCUAUGCGUCAUGCAUGUAACAUGUCUAAAUAUUUUGAUUCUAUGAUUGUAUGAUGGUGUUGCAUGUCCAAGCUAGACUCCACUUAUACCACCUCUGUUGGUGUAGUAAUAGCAUCAAAAUUAUUUCUCUCGCCUCUUUGAUUUCUUCAUUACUUAUGUAUGCAUGCACUUUGUUCUGCUCUGGUUGUCUGUUCUAACCCUGAGAGACAAACACUUUCACUUCAAUGCUCCCAGACAAAUAGAUACCAAAGUCAUAAUAUCAUUGAACAAUAUAACUAAAUAAGCAACUUCCAAAUAGGAAUGAAUCCGUGUAUAUUAUUUAUUUUCGCAUUAUCUAAUCACAAAACCUAUUCCUGACGAUUUCAUGUAUGUAGUAGUAAUAGUAAGUAGUAACUAGGAAAACAAACUAAUUACUCAAGUAUUGUCUCCUUGAGGCAACCUACAUGUUUGUUUAUUAAACCCGAACCAUAAUACUCUCUUCUUCUUCUCCAACCAAAACCAUUGACAUAGACAUACUCUCUUUCGUACUACACAGUACGUUAGAACCUAUCCAAACCACCAGAGUCCUGUUUUACCGAUUUACACUCGUGUACGGAGCAGUUAUUACCGGUGUUUCCCUCACGUGGAGACGAAGCCAGAGACACCUCAAAAUCUUCAUCGCAUUCAAGAUAAUGAUGUGUGCCCAUUGAGUAACACCUCCUUGGCACGCCCAUCCCAAUUUCACCUCUGACUUCAUGCCGUUGGCUUUGACUUUGAAUCCCGUUCGUACUUUUGAAUCUCCCGAGACGAACAGAGAAGACUCUUUUGGAAAUAGUUACUUUUCCUUCGUUGACCUGCUGAUGCUCGGACAAGGGGGCAACAGGAGUCUCGGCGUGGUUGAAGCAGAAGCUUGAGGAAUCGAAGUUUGCGGUUGAGAGUGACCGUCUGCAGAGAGGGCAAGUGGAGUUGGAGAGAAGCCACAUGUCGAUACAGUGAAGAUGGAACGCAUGGCUACAGACAGGGAGUAACCUAAGCUUGUCUGCGUCAGAAAACUCACUGAGACAUACGGCGCAAUCGAACGACUCUUUCAGACUCAUGGUCACAUCACCGUAAAGGAACACCGGAAGUGCAUCAAUAGCUGUCUGGUCUAGACCAGAGUCGUGGAGGAAGAAGAGGUGUUGGAGCUGAGGGGAGGAGGAAGACGAGAGAUCUGGGCUGGGGUUGAAAUGGGGAAAUGGAAAGAAAGUUGAGGACUUACGGAGAAAUUUGAAAAUUAUGUGGAGGACACCGAGAAAAACGAUGACAAGAGCAAGAACAGAGAUGACCAUACAUAAAAUAGAGAUUAUAGAGUUUGAAGAUGAAUCUUUCUGGUUCAGAAGAGCUAUUGUCGCUGCAGAUGAAGACUUAGGUGAAAGAGCUUCUGUUUCAUGGAUUACAGACAAAAGCAUCCUACACAUUUUGGUGUUUGAAGAGAAGGAACGCUUUUGAGUUUAGCUCAGUGAUCAGUCUCUAUAAAAUAUAUAGUAAUGAGAUAAAAAGCUGAUAGAGAUUUCACACAUGCUCUGUCUUGUUUAUUUCCCAGAUCAAGACACGCUUUAAAAGUAUAAAAUUUUGAAGGCGACUCAUUGUCCCCUCUUUUUAUGUUGGUGACUGAUUUGACAUGAUUUUAAGCUAAACCAUAAUCAUUAUUGGCUAAAAAGUCCAUAAAAUGUUAUUAGGAUUCUCACAUUUAGAAGUUCAAGAACCACAAUAAGCUGGAUGAUUAAGAAAACUACACUUAUGGAAAACAAAGUUCUACUCAGGCCCACCAUUGUCUUCCACUUAGAUGUUCUUAAAUCAUUAAACAUAGCUUGCCUUCUAAUACAUAAUCUAUUUCACUCCCACUCAUUUGUUAUUAUAUAUCUUGAAAACAGAGUCUAUGUAAAUACUUUUGUGAUGAUGAUUCAUUGUCCCAUGUUUCACAAACGAGCUUUCAAGAAGUCAAAACUCAAUCAUAACUGUAAGCAAAUACAUAUCACAUAGCUGGUCCGCUGAAAGAUAAUGAGGUUUUGGCAGAUAGUAAUAAAGAUAAAUCUUCUAAGAAUUUUCCUCAAAUCAAUUGAUCAAGAUAUAACGAUACUUUUCAGUUCUUUAAUUUAUUCAAAUCAUGAAAUGUGCCCUUACAAGUUAUAAAUCCUAGCAAGAACACAGAUUUCUACACUCAGAGCGAGAGCGAGAGCACACACACCUUUGCCCGCUGAUAUCCUGAGUGUCAUCUCAAUUAUGUGAAAACGUUUUAACGAACUGAGUAGAUGUAUAGCUCAUUUCUUCCAUGGAUUAUCACCGUAGUAAUAGGCAGUUCCAACCAUUAAAGCAACGGUAGCACCCUGGACGACCACCCUAGCUCUCAUCAAAACCUGACCCAUCUGAGAAUUGCCUCUUCUGAAACUAAUCAGCCCAGCCGUAAGCACUCCCGCAGUCAUAAGUGCGCCUACAAUAGUUUUAUUUCACAAGAAAAUGAUCAAAUACUGAAUGUCUACCAAUAUAGACCAAGACAGUAUUGGAAAGCCAUGAAGAUUUUGAAACACUCUGGUCUCUGUCAAUGUUUAUAGAAACCUAAUCAUGGCUUUGCUACCUAAGCUCCAAGUAACAAAUUCUCAUACAAUUUGCUAAAGGAACAACCUUCAAAGAUGUAUGUUGUCUCUAUAUAGCUAGCUCUACCAUCUACCAUGAAACUUGAGAUUCUUUACAGGCAAGAUCAUACAUACCGACACAAAAUUGUAAGAAAACCACAAAUUGUACCUCUAUUUCAUAACUUAUUAAUGAUUUCAGAAUUGUUGGGAUCCCAAAAAUUCUGAAUUCACAUGAUUCUGAUUAUGAAUCUAAAGGGAACAAAUUGUUGUUCAGAGAUUAAAAUAAAAUAAAACCCAGAAACUACAUUAGAAGCAAUCUAAUAAAGCGAACAAGGAAAUGGGUCAUGCUAUAAACAUUUCGAAAUCGCGAAAAUUCAAAAUUCGAUCUCAGUGAAAUUGAGAUCAAAAACGAACCGAGAGGAACGAGAGGGUUCCUGUAACGCUUCUUAUCCUGGAACAGAUCUUCCAUGUCAGGUUCUACCGCACUCAUCUUCUCCACAACCAUCAGUGCGAUAAACCACAGAGAGAAACAAAACUAAUAAAAAAGAGAGAGUAGCGAAAGUAAUUAAGAGCAGUCACGCGUGGCCUGUUCGUCACCAGAGACCGUGCGACGGCCAGCCGAUUCUAUGAAACGGGUCGGGUCGUGUCGAUGGUUUUCAAAAACGGGUCAGAUUCGAGAGUGUUUAAAACACCCAAAAAGGGAUUUAAAAAGCCCAGUGGGCUCGCUUCUGAUGCCCACGUCCGAAAUAGCAUGUAAUAAUUACAAUUUCGGUUUUAUUAUGAUAAGAAAUUAAAAAAAAAAAUCCAUUGGUUACUUUAAAUCCAUUUGUUGUCAAAAAUAAAAACAAAGCUACAACUGAUAUUGUUACUACUUCUCUAAUGUACCAUCUCUAAUUCUAUAGUCCUUAAUCUCCUAACAAGGUUUGGUAUAUGAACUAUUAGGUCACGAAUCACGAUCUAGGUUUCUCAAGGUUAUGGUACUAUAGGGUUUCAAGUUCAACUGUCAAAUAUCCUAACCAACUGGACUGAUAUAAUUUUUUUUUUUGUUUAUUUAGGGCCAAAGACAUGGGCCUUUUAGCCCAAACAAAAGAAGAACAUGGGCCUUUUGUUUCAAACUAAAUAUUUUUGGCAGCUCUAUAUUUAUUUUGUAACUAAUCUAUUUUUACAAAACUGAAUUUAACAUUCUUAACUAUGAUUUGAAUUGUUGGAAGGCAUCUCUCAAACAUGUGACUAAAACGCAUUAGUAAAAACAACAAUUUCGAGGAAAAAAAGUCAUGUCGGAGUCCAGGGGCGGAUCCAUAAACUUUUUUUUAUAUGGGGCACAUAUUAUAUAUAACUAAUGAUAUUAAUUGUAAUAUAUAUUUUAUAUAAUUACAUAUAUUAAUAAAUAAAUAUAAUUUUCACUUUUUAUAUAUUUUAAAAAGGAAAAACAAAUACCGAAUUUUUUGACAAUAUUGUUCUUUUUCUAAUUUAUCAUUUAAAAAUAUACAAUUACAGCUCUAUAUAAAAAUGUACUAUAUAAUAUUAUUAUUUAAAUAUUUAACAACAGCACAAAUUAUUAUUUUACUUAUUUUCUAAGUUUACCAAUAAUUUAUAACUAAAAUUUUUUUAGAAGUUCAACUAAAAUUAGAAAUUAAAAAAUAAAAUUAAAAAAAUAUAGAUUAUUGAAAACAAUAAAGGAAAAGAAAAAAUGCAUCUAAUAAUAAAAAUAUGUAAGAAAGUUAGAGAAAAGAUAUGACAGACAUAAAUAAAAAUCUACCAAAAAUAAAAGCAGAUGAGUUGUACAAAGAAAACAAAAAAAAGAGAAGCAUCAAUACAAAGUGAUAGAACUUUUUACCAAGCAGUUACAUGGGGCACUAUGCUGCCAAAUGAGCCAAAGAUCUAUUAUCUUAUUAUCCACAAACUAAACUUUAAGAAUUAGUACGGGGCACGUGCCCACCUAUGUAUAACAUAGAUCCGCCCCUAUGUGGGACUGUGGAUGAUGGAUAGAUCAUGUGAGGAGCCGCCGUUCUUUAAUUCCCCUCUCUUCAAUCUUCAAACCAAAAAUUAAAAGAUUUUGAAACUUUGAAAAAUAUUGAAAGAAGAAAAAAAGAGAGAGAGAGAGAGAGAGUUUUGGUUUAUAAACGUUUAUUACACUUCUUCAAGUUAAUUAAUAAUCACUUCAUUACGUCUCUCUCUCUCUGUCUCUGGGUUUGGUUUAAAGUGCGUAUUUUUGUGGGUUUGCUUUUGUGGGGGUUUGAAUGGCGUCGACUGCUUCGAAAUUCAUCAAAUGUGUGACUGUUGGAGAUGGUGCCGUUGGAAAAACUUGUAUGCUCAUCUGCUACACUAGCAACAAAUUCCCUACUGUAAGCAAUCCUUGAAUUCGAUCAACAAACUUCAUCUGGGUUUCUCGCAAUUUCGUUACCAAUAUCGUUGAUUCACAUCAAUUUUGUUUUUCCGGGGCAAUCAAUCUCCAAUUUUGUUACUUUUUUGAUGAAAAUCCUUCCGGGUUUUGUCAAAUUUCAACUCGUUUUUAAAGAACUCUAUCAGGGUUUUUCAAAGUUAGCUCCUUUUUUUAGGGAUUGUGUAAGAAACAUCUUUUAUAUUUCCAGAUUUUGGAAAUCUUACAUUGUUAGGCUAGGCUAACAUUUGCUGUAUAGCCUAUGUGUCCUCUCUAUUGCUAUAUAGCCUAUGUGUAUCUCUGUUGAAGUUAAAGAUGAGCUGAGACCUUGUUGGGGUUGAUUGUUGAAAUGUUUCAGGACUACAUACCAACAGUUUUUGAUAACUUUAGUGCAAACGUUGUAGCUGAAGGCAUCACUGUCAACUUAGGCCUUUGGGACACUGCCGGUAAGUAAACUGAAACAUGUCGCCAUUUCUAACAACUAGCAAGUUUGCUUUCGAUUUGAGCUCUUUGGAUAGAGAAAUUGGUAGUGUGUUUCAGACUGGCAACUAUUUAGAUAUUUGUAUGUAUGAGUAUCCUUUCAUGUUUGCAGGUCAAGAAGACUAUAACAGACUAAGGCCUUUGAGUUACAGAGGAGCAGAUGUUUUUGUGUUGGCUUUCUCAUUGAUCAGCCGAGCUAGCUACGAGAAUGUAUUUAAGAAGGUUUGUGAUAAUUGUAUUCCUUCUUAAUCUUAUUGGGAAAACAAAGAAUGAAAUGUGAUUUCUGAUGUUUGUGAAGUGUUUAUUUUGGUCAGUGGAUCCCUGAACUCCAGCGCUUUACACCAGGAGUCCCCAUUGUACUUGUUGGUACCAAAAUGGGUAAGAUAGCUAUUAAGAGUGGAACCAACAAUGUUCUUGGAAAGCAUAUAUCGUAUAUGUAAUGUUUCUUACAAUUUUCCGUUAUAUAGAUCUUCGUGAAGAUAAACAUUAUUUGUCUGAUCAUCCUGGACUGUCCCCAGUAACUACAUCACAGGUGCGAUUUUUCAACCUGUAGAAACCGUAAGCAAUGUUGUGAUACUUCCUUAACCCUUUCCUCUAGGUGUUAUAUGAGAUAAGCAUUCAUAUGUGACAGGGAGAGGAACUCCGCAAGCAUAUUGGAGCAACAUAUUACAUUGAAUGCAGCUCAAAAACUCAACAGGUACACGUGCAUGUGUGUAAGGGAUCAUUCAUGUUAGUGUACUCUUUUGCUUGCACCAAUAUGACACAUAUAAUUUUCUUUGGUCUAUGGUUUUUGUAGAGUGUGAAAGCCGUAUUUGAUGCCGCUAUCAAAGUGGUAAUCAAACCAGUGGUGAAACAAAAGGAGAGGAAGAAGAAGCAAAAGCCACGCAAUGGAUGUCUCUCGUAAGUUUGAAUAGUCUUCACUUUAGAGUUCCUUAUAUAUGAUGUAGAACACUAGAAUUUGGUUAUGCAAAAACUCACAUUUAGUUUUAUCUUUAUAUAGCUGUUCUAAUGUGUUUUUUUUGUGAAGUCUCAUAGCCAUUAACGAUUGUAAAUUGACUUUUUUUCUUUGGCAGUAACAUUCUUUGCGGGAACCAUUGAUGACGCAACUCCAAUCUGAGGAUUGUUCAUUUCUUUUUUCUUUUUUUUUUUUUUCUGAUUGCCCUGUCAUAUACAUAGAGUUGGCAGGGAUAAAGCCUGAAUUCGAUAGUAGCUUCUUUGAUUAUGUUUGUAAAUGUGACCGUGAUGUUUGUUUUUUCCGAUUUUGGUUAUAUAGUUGUUUUCGCCAUUUUGGAGAUAAAGACCCUUUUCAGAUGUAGAAAAGAUCUAACCACAGCGUUUUAGUUGACUGGUUAACACUUGAUUCUUUCUUGAGCCCUUAUUGCCAAAUUUGAAUUUAUUUGGUCUAUUACGAAUUCGAGACAAAAGGCAAAAGCAUGACAAAGAAGAAGGAUGUAAAUUUCAAACGGAGCUAGCACAAGAAGUAAUAAAUCUACAAACUGAAGAGAGAAAAAAAAAAAAAAACUAAUCUUGUGUCUAUAAUACAACUCCAUCACCUAACGCAGCACAUAUAUGUAAAGCCACAAUGCCAAAGACUUGUUUUAUCAUAAUUUGAAACACACUCAAAGCCACCAACAUUUAUUUUAUCUCUCUGCUCUUUUGUGCCGGUGUAUAGAGAUACACACAGGCAUGUUAAGAAGAAUGACCAAAAGUGUGUUUCACCUUUUAAAACUCUCUGUGGGGAGAAGGAGGUAAUGCGGGUCUCUCGCUGAGAACCUUGUUGAUAACUCUUCUGAAAGAGAGUGGCCACGCCGGUGAAUUUGGAACUGUUUUUGGAAGAUCUACAUGAUGGUGAAACCAAGAGGUCAGGUUUUGAGUUCUUAGAAACGUUGAGACCACUGUGAAGUCACAAAUUGACUCACCCAUUCCUCAUCUUAAACAGAGCAGGCCAGCCAAUGAAGCCUUGCGGCAUCACAAUCACUCUCAUCUCGUAGUAACUAGCAAAGUAAAAAAUAGUUUUUGAAACAUCAGUAAGGGAAAAAAAAAAGUGAGGUACGAAACACACUAAAGUUUGUGGGGACUUCGAGGGCUUACAAGCUCAUGUAGCCUCCUGAGAUUCAGAGCUAUUGUUAUUGCCACGAGGACUGCCUAUAUCCAUCCCAUCCUCCUUCCGGUUCUUUCCUCUUCAGAACACCACCUGACAUUUGAUACAUUCUUGCUUGAUCCUCCUUCAAUGGUAAGGAAGCAGAUGAUGAUAAUUGUCUUGCCACAAGUGCUGAUUCGUCUCUUCCCUCUGUUUCAUGACCUCCAGGACCAGAAUUUAAGUCAAGUCCUGACCUAAACCAUUUUGCGUUAUUGUCCAAAACUCCACCAUUGCUACCACCAUUUGGGAGGCCAACGAUAUAAGGUCUUGGGUAAUUAGACGGAACUGGAACUCCAGGACCCAAUAUUUGAGAGUUGACACCAGGGAAGCAAGCUCUCCCACUUGAAGAAGAAUCCAUGUGUGCUGUAGAAGCACCAGAGAAAUUCGAUGAGGUAAUGGGGAAGCUGUUUCCAAAAGGAAACACAGGAUACUGGAACGUUGUGGACUGAAACGGCAUGGCUGGAGACGACGACAAAACCGGACCCCUAUACCCUUCAGGGGUAAAUGAGGAAACACCAGUUGUUGGACCUAACAUUCUCUGUGGUCCACGAUUGGCAAUCAUUGGAAAAGGCUGAUCACCUCUCUCAGGCAUAAUUGGAGGAAUGCUCACAGCUGAAUAAGCGUUAGCAGCAGGAAACCAAGUUGAGAAACUAGCCAUGUUUUCGCCAUUCAUUCGUAUCCCAGAGAGAGAUGGUUGUGAUGGCAAGGCACUUCGUGAAUGUUGAUUUAGAAUCACAGAUGACUCAACAGCCGCAUCAUCACCCGCAGGUCCAUCAUUUAAAUCAAAAUCUCUACGACUACCAGUUGAUGAUAAUUUAACCUGCUGAAAAGAUGGCUCCAACCGAUGACUACUGUUCAUUGUGUAGUUGUUCAUAUCAGUGGAAUCAUCAACUUUGUUAAGAUCAAGAUCAAGUCCCCCAGAAGAAUGAUCAAGCGCUAAACCUAUGACCCCAGAACGAACGCGGUCAAAACUACUUGUGAUCCCAGAUGUACAAUUUGUGGCAUUUCCAGAUCUUUGAGAAGCCAAAUCUUCAAGAACUCUCUCGUCAGCUACAUUCAAAUCAAAAUCCAGAAACGUCCUUGUCUGUUUACCGGCAGAUGUCGAAGCAUCAGAGAUAGAGGUAUUGUUAAUGCUCAGUAACACAUCCUGAGGUUUUCUUGGCUCAGCUGGGCGGAAGGCACUAGUGGCAGCAGAUCCUCUCCAACCAACAGCCCCUUUAUUUCUCAACAGAUCUUCAGGUGGAACAAACGGACCUUUUGCAGCAGCCGCAACAGUAAUUGAUGCAGGAAUUCCACUCGAAACAGGAGCCACCGGAAAAGGUAAGGUAUUAACUGGUUGUAGAGGAGUAGGCGUCAAAAAUACAGAUCCAGAGAAGUUAUUCGAAUCCACAUGUUUUACUUCGUCUCCAUCAAAACCUUCAUUUAGAUCAAAUUCAACUCUGGCAUCCAUCUCUGAUCCACCUGAAGCUGCAGCUGAAACAGAAGAAGCAUCUCUGGCAGCAGAUGUACAUUCCUCUGCUUCAUCUCCAUCCGCAUCACUGGUUUUAGGCCCAUUCGGUCUCUUAAGAUCCUCUACAUCUGUUGGUGAUUCUCCUGGAGUAGCUCUUAACCCUGAAUAACGUUCCUUCAUUUCAAUAUUUUCUAUAUUCCGCUCCACAGGCUCAACUUUAUUUAUAGUUACAGAUGAAUCCAAACCAGCUGAAACAUCCUUUAUAGCAGCGACAGAAGCAUCACAAUCCCGCUUUAUCUUCUUUAUAUCUUUCUGGUCUAUAUGAUUAAUCACCAUGCUAUUGACCAUUUCACUCACAGGUCUAUCAAUGCUUAUUGCAUUCAUACCCCUUGAAAUCCCAGAAGUAUCAGGUACAUCUUCAUCCACUUUUUUAACUAGCUCAGAACUCAAUGUCGUUGGCGGUUUCUCUUCUUUCUUAUCUUCACCAACACUGUCAAAGGGAGCAUGUUUAACAGCCACAGAAUCUACCUUUUCACUUAUAUCUUUACAUUCACUUAACAUUGAGAUUUCUACUCUUUUUGUUGAGUCAGAUGUGUGAUCUGCCUCUGAUAUAGCAUCAACCUUUGUAUCCUUUACUUCCACAGAUUCGCAAUCAUCAAAAAUCUUUUCCUUAACCACGUUUGUGGGCAAAGCAGGUGAAGCGAUGAUAUCAUCUGAAUUGUCAUUGCUCUCUAGCUGAUCCACCAGCGUUUGCAAAUCUUCAGAGUCUGAAUUUGAGCUCUUAUCAGGAUCUCCACUCUUCGAUUCAUUUUUUACCUCUGACUCCACCAACUGUGUGCCACUACUGCUAACAUUUUGCUCACCUUGAUGUUGCUCGUGCGGCAACCCAUCCGAAGUCAUUAGUUUUGGAUUGUUCCCGACAGUAGAAUUUUCAUUCAUCACAGAAUUUGAUGGCUGAGAUACUGAGGGUGAUGCAACAGGCGAUUUAGACAUCUCAUCAGCAGCUACACUAGCAAGAAGAUUCAUUCCAACAUCAUCCGAACCAGCCAAAGAGGUAUUUGUCUCGGAGUAUCGGACACAACUUUCAAUCAAGGCAUUCAUCGAACUGAGUGUUCCACCAUGCCUUUCUCCAGAUUUGAACUCAUUUCCUAAGGAAGAUGUGCUUUUAACAUUCCCAGCUGCUUUAUCAGAAUCUUUAAGAGCCAUGCCACGCUCAUCACCAGCAACAGCAAGUGGUGAACCAGCUGCCUCUUGCGAGCCUGUCAAAAUAUCUUUUAAUUCAUUGCUUUGCCAAGAUUCAGCAUUCAAGACAGAGGUGACAUUAGCUCGACAAGAAUGAUUUUUUUCUCUCACGUUAUUGUCACACAGUUCCUGCUUCACCGCAUGCACAGGAGAAGAAGCUCUGCUAUUCACCGGUGCAGGGUCCUCCAAAGAGCCCCCACUCACACUUUGAGCAGGACUGCGACCUCGAUUUGGCAGCUUCACAAUCAAUUUAUUACUGCAACCCUCGGUCAGAGGAACCUCAAGAGCCUUUUCAGAUGUCAAACUUGAUUGAGAAAUUUUCUCAGAAGGGACGUUCCUUUGUGAUGAGAAGCUUCUACUUAAACCUGCUUCUCUAGGGGAUGCUGACGAAGAUGAUCCAUGAAACGCAUUAUUAAAUUUCCGAUGCCUUGAUGAGCCGCUGGAGCACUUCUUCACAGUUGAACCCGCAGUUGAGCUCCUUGCAUCCUCUUUUCCAGAUAAAUUGCCUGUUUUAGCAUGCUCGCUCGAGCAAGACUGACUAUUAUUGUGGGACUGACUGGAGCUACUACUUUUCUCAUCUUUUACUGCAGCUAGAACUUCAGAUACACCACCAGCCCCAGUAUUUCGUUGCUGUCCAUCUUUGGAAACAGUACCGCCUGAUCCAGGAGAUGGGGCUGAUCUUGUAGAGCCUGGUGACGUGGUAACACACUUCAGGUUGUUAUCCACCUGUUGUUUGACCAAGACUGACUUAGAAGCAUGUAAAUGGGAUGAUGAUGUCUUGUUUGCUUCCGCGGAAACACCUGAAUGCCUUCCCCCAUGAGUCAGUCUUCCAGGCCAAGAUACACCCUGGUUGGAUCCAGACUUCGCAUCCAUUUCUGCCUCAACUCGUUUCUUCCAUGUGUCAACCAAGCUCCUUGCUUUUUUCCCAAUCUCUGAAUUUUUAUGUGACCGCAGAUGAUUAACAGACUUUCCAAUGUUACAAGUCUGAAGCGCAUUGAGAUUCACGGGUAGCUUGUCAAGGGCGCGAAGUAAGACUAAGAGGAAAUCGUCUACUAACCUAUCACUGUCUUUAGGACUGCCCCCAUCCCCAACUUUCCCUUUAUGAACUUCCUGCAGCCACUCAUCAAACACGGGUAAUCCCCUGAGCUGGACAAAACGACUAAGGCAAUCAAACUUGUCUGUAGCCGCUACAACCCCUGCUAGAAUCGCACGGCCAACUAAGUCUAUUUUCUUCUCAUUCCUCUCAGGUAGCAUGAGCUGCACCAAUUUCUCAACUCCUUCAGAAUCUACCAAACCACCUUUGUCUGUAAAUUUUGAAAUCUCAGACUUUAAACCACUUUCUGUUCUGACGGGACCAGAACCACUGUCAUCUACUCGAGUAGAACGUUCCCGUUUAACAGACUCAGAACCAUGAUCCAUGCGCUCUCUUUUCCUUCCCUUACCCUGAGAGAGAAAAGAAUUGUUGUUUGGGAUGCCAUCUUUCGCUUGUGAUGUUGUUGGACUAUUCGUGGACUUGGGAGAACGACCUCCCUGUUGUAGUGUUGUAUGCAUUUCUGAACGAGUCUUACACAAUAACUUAUCUACUUCAAGUUGUCGAUCCUGCAAAGUGAAAAAAUGCCUUAGUUACCAGAAGAAAAACAUAAAUCUAGAUAGGAGAAUGCAGUUGAUGGUGAAUUAUAAUCUCACAUCAAUAUAGUCUUGAUCAGUCAGCCACCAUAAGCGCUCGUUUGUAACGUCGUAUACUCGCCGACACACAAACGAGCAGAUACCAGAUGGCAGUUCAACACCUCUCGGAAGGAAGGCAACUUUACACGGAUGCAGUAAAGAUGCAGCAGGUAUAGUAUCCUGGUGAAAGGAAUAAAAGAGUUCGUUCGGCUCGGCUUCUAGAAGUAUGCCUUUGCCAAGUUUUAAUUCUGUGGGUCGGUAAAGCCAAUUAACACCCAACUUCAACUUAUCUUCUUUCUUGGCAAUGAUCAAGCGAAUUAUCCCAAUGAACGGUGGACAAUCCUGUGGUGGCUUAAAAAGAGCACAGUCACCAACACUAAUUUUGCGGCCGUCCUGCUAGUGACAGCAAAACACAACAAACCUAUAAGACGAAGAGCCAACAAAAAAAGAAAAAAAACAAUACCCAUACACAUAAAUCACCAGACUGAUGUGAUCAAUUCUUUGUUCAAUCAGGCUAGAAAUUGGUAAAGAAAAAAAAACCCUCAUUUCCUCGAAUCAAUCAAUAGAAUCCCAAAAUCCAGGCAAAUUUCAACACUCCAGGCAAACCCAUCAACCAAAACAAAUGGAAGCACGAAAAAAAAUGAGCGUCUGGGAAUAAAAAGUCGAAACGAAAAGGAUUCGAAUUACCUUAGAAAACGAGGUAGACGAAGAUAAAGACAAACAAGAAGAACCACCACCUUCCACACUCGCAAUUACACGCGAGGAAGAUAUCAACAUGUGCCGACGACGACUUUUGUGCCUCCGCUCACAAACCCUCCCAUGCAUAGCCUUCUAUCAUCUUCUCCUUCGAACAACAUCAAUACACUACUCCUCAGCGAAAUCCAACAAAUCCUCAAGCAAUUCCCUUUAUUCCCAGACAAUUUUCGAUACCUUAGAUCCACGAAACCCACCGGCGACGCACAGAAAAAAACCCUAAUUUCGCGACGAAAUGGAUCAAAUCUCUAGGGUAGUUUCAAUUACCGAUCCGAAGAUAACUACACAGAUCCAAAAUCAACAACAGCAACAAGGAAGUAAUCGAAUCAGCCUUGUUUCGAUCCAGGCAUACGAACUUUUUUCCUUCGCGAAAUCGCGUAAGCGAACAAAACACCAGCAAAAAUAAUAAAUCGUAGAGAGAGAGAGAGAGAGACGGGGCAAAAAGGGGAAAGGUGACUUGGGAGAGUUCGGGCGGAUCGGGUCGGGUAGAGAGAAAGAGGGGAGAAGUUGUGGAAAGGGGCAAAGAUAACGUGACAGUGCGGUGACUUAAAUGAUAAAACAAUAUGUGCGUGACGUCAUCUCCGAUCUUUUUCAGGUGACAUAGGGACUAGAGAGAUUAAGAGGUGGGUGAGUGACGGACGGUUUGACCACGUUUCCUUACUCCUUUGACUUUAUUUCUUUUGUUUGUUUUUUUUUUCAAUCAAAAAACUUUGAUCCACGGUUUGCAGAACCGGAAUAAACCAAGAAAAAGUAUUUUAUGAAUUUUAUUUGCUCAAUUUAAAUUAUUUUCAAUUAACAUAUACUGUGAUGACCAAUUUAUGAUCAGUACAAACUUGGUUAGUUAUUGUCUCAACCACUCAUAAUCAUUUCUCAACUAUCAACUACACAUACAUUAGACGAAUAACUACAUAUAUUUUGAUUUAUGUGUUUGUAUUUUUAGGCUGAAAAAUGAAAUAUUAUACGUAUUAAGGUGAUAAACAAAAAUAUCAGCAGUAGAUUUUUUUUUCCACCAACAUUUUGUGCAAUAAACGAAAUGAUAAUUUUUUACUUUUUCAAAAUGUUUUAUAUACUAGGUUUUAGUCUGUGAUACACCAUGGAUCCAUAAUUUAAUAUAUUGUUUGUCAGUUCGAUUUUGGUUUUUGAGAAAAUCAAAACUGCUACGUUAAACAGAGAAGGUUGCAAUUAGGUUUUAAGAUUGGUUUCAAGACGACAAUUUAAAUUUGGGGUUAGUCUAGUUAGCGAUUUUACGAUUUUAAAUUGCAGUUAAGAAAAAUAUAUGAUUUGGUUGGUCGAGAAGAGUUUUAUAAUUUGUGUGAAAUUACGAAAUCUGGUAUCUGGUGACAUAGGGUAAAAGUACAUGUGAAAUUAGUUGAAAGUUGAAACACUAUAGCACAAGGAUCUGAUACAUGCACACCUAACAUAAUUUUUUGUUUUUUUUUUUUUUUUUUUGCAGGAUGAGAUAGUGUGCUAUUUGAAGGAAAACUUAAAAUUUUGAGAAAAUGGAAAAAGGUCUACUGUAUACACAACACAUAUUGUGAGGAGGAUAGAUCGAGCCUGUGAAGGUAGACAAAGAUGAAGGAUUUUGGCUGUUAAUUUCAAACGGAACUAGCACAAGUAAUAAAUCUACAAACUGAAGAAAAAAAAGAAAAAAACAACUAAUCUUGUGUCUCUAUAAUACAACCCCCAUCACCUAACUCAGCACAUAUAUGUAAAGCCACAAUGCCAAAGACUGGAUUUAUCAUAAUUUAAAACACACUAAAAGCCACCUACAUUUGUUUUAUCUCUCUACUCUUUUGUGCCGGUGUAUAGACUACACACAUGCAUGUUUAGAAGAAUGACCAAAUAGUGUGUUUCACCUUUUUAAAAAUCAUGUGUGCGGAGGAGGAGGUAAUGCGGGUCUCUCGCUGAGAACCU
Molecule: long non-coding RNA, 45502 nt
Filed under: Capsella rubella
Lineage: Eukaryota; Viridiplantae; Streptophyta; Magnoliopsida; Brassicales; Brassicaceae
Description: long non-coding RNA (CRUB_LNC002734)
Source: RNAcentral